Molecule: long non-coding RNA, 72440 nt
Filed under: Panicum hallii
Lineage: Eukaryota; Viridiplantae; Streptophyta; Magnoliopsida; Poales; Poaceae
Description: long non-coding RNA (PHAL_LNC000411)
Source: RNAcentral
GAAGCAAACCCUCAGAAACAAGACGCAGGAGGUUGUUAUUGGAGCACUUACUGUAAGUCCACUCCCCAGAAAGCAGCUCAGAUUCCUUCCCCUUCCCAUCUUUCUCGUUGGAUCUCUUGGGCGCCAUUCUAGAUCUGUUUGCCACGAGCUGCUCGGGGGCUGGAGAGAAGGGGUGGAGAGAUUCGGCUAGCUUGGGGCUUGUCAAAGGGGGUGAAGACGGAGCACGGAUCUGAUUGGGGAUUCGGAAAUUUCUUAGCGGAUUGAAGAUUGGAAACACAGAUUUUACCCUAAGUUACCGCGGGGGUAAAUAACCAGUGGCCAGAUACAGGUUUACUGUUCCGAAGUUGAAGAGUCGUCACAGGGAAUAUUCGGAAGCCAAGGGGUCAUUUGGUGGAACUUUAGAUAAAUUAUUCAAUUAACUAUUUUUUCAGGGUUAAUUAUCCGAAAAGGGGUUUUUUGAAUUCUAAAUCUAACUUCCACCAUCUGUACCAUCACACCAAUUAUUUCCCAAGGGAAUAUUUCUGCAUGCCACGACUAUUGGAUCCUUUUUUCCAAACGUGAGAGAUUUGGAUUCAAGACUCGGGGGCUGCGGGAUACGUGGCAUCGACUACUUAUUUUUUUAAUAUAUUCGAAGAGUAAGCAAGGAAGAUUUAAGACUAAUGUGACCCUCAGCCUGAUUCUUCGAUUCAACCUAAGGCUUGGGGACUACUCCAUAUGGAGUGCGAUUUUUCAUCGCAUACCAUACCAAAGAAGUAAUUCGGGGCAUGAGCAGCUCAUAGCUUCGAUGCAGCCAAGGAAGUACUCGAAGAAGAACUUCAAGAAGGAGCUUCAAAAGAAGCCGAAGACUACUUCGGAGGUACUCGAAGAGCCUGCAGUACUCAGCUACGAAGAGCUCGGGGGCUUAUCGGAUCCGGGACUACGGGACUGCGUACAUAAUGUAGUUUAGGAAUAGGGGAUAGGGCAUGUCCUAUACCUUAUCUGUGUUGUACUCUACUCGCAUACGAAGUAGGACUAGCCGAUACAGAAGGAAGCUACUCGAGUUGUACUCGAGUACGAUUCCUCCCGGAUAUAUAAGGGCGGGUAGGGACCCCCUCAAAACACAUCAACACCCAAGGCAAUACAAACCACCAAACAGGACGUAGGGUAUUACACACAUCGCGGCUCGAACCUGUCUAAACCUUGUGUUGCUUGCACCUUCGAGUUCCUGAUCUCGGCGUCACCCUACCUAAAACUUACCACCUCGGGUAUACCCCUUGGUGGGCAGGCGGUAAAACACCGACACGCUCAGCACCUCCGUACCGCCUCCAGUAGCGUUAAUCAAGGGGAAUAGGAUAAAAAAUGUAUUCUAUGCGCACUUUAAUGAUGUACUCUAAUGAUGCACUGUAAUAAUAUAUUUCUAUAUGAUUUAAUUUUAUAUGCGUAGUAAUUUAUAUUUAUAAAACAUAUUCCAUAUCAUUUACUAUGACAUUCGAUCGCGCACUAGCUUGAUAGGUCAAAUUUGGUGGGAAAUAAAAUUUUUAAAAAUAGUGGAAAACAGAUUCGGAAAAUUUAAAUUCAAAUAAGUGAAUUUUUGGGCGGGAAACCAAUUUUUAGAGGCUGGUCACGCCCUCACCCGCCCCUGAAAAUCUAUUUUCAGGGAGCGGGUCACGCCCUUAUCUGCCCCUGCAAAUACCAUUUACUGGGGCGGGUGAGGGCGUGACCCGUCCCUGAAAUGGUUUUUUAGAGGCCUGUGGGUUAUUCGUCUCUGCAAAUAGUAUCUGUAGCUGCAAAAAGCAGGGACGGGUUUCGCGCCCGUUAAAAACGUUUUCUGUAGUAGUUUUCCGUGGUAGGGGAUGUUGUUGGUGACAAUAGUGCUUGUGCUUGUGCUCAUACCAUAUUACCAUAGAGUUCCUAUAUACUUUGAUGCGGCUUCUAAUAUUCCUAUCAGAUCCGACUAUAGAGUUCUGUCUGGGCAGGUUGACGAAGGAGAGAGGACGAGCAGACUGAUGGGAAGUCUAUGCUUCUUCGAGUGUUGGAACUUGGAAGAGGAAGAGGUACUUUUAUAUUUAGUUAUAAAAUUUUAUAUGACACGGCAAAUUAUUUUUUGCACUUAGUAUUAGUGGUGGCUUUCUUAUUUCGAAGUGUUCGGAGUUAUACUUCCGAGUUGGUGCCAUCUGCUGCAUAUCUACUUCAUAUUUCGUCUACUGUGAUUUUAGCAUUGUAGUAUCUUUUAGCCUUAGGUCCUAUUUGGAUCACCUAAAAUUAAACUUUGGUCUAGUCCGGACCAAAGUUUAAUUGACUAAAGUUAUGUGACUAAAGUUUAGUCUAUAGCUGUUUGGAUCUAUACUAAACUUUAGGUUGAAGACCAUUUGAAACACAUAAAAUAACUCUUUUGCCCUCAAUUUUGCUGCUGCCGAGCUGCCUACACUGCCCUGCUAGUUGCCUUGCUGCUGCUGCGAGGACCGCGCGGAGGAGGUUGGGGGCGUGGAGGAGGCUGGGGCGCCACUGCAGGUGAGGCUGACCUCACUGGCCAUGCGGAUCCGGCGAGGAGGAGGCCGGAGUGGACGGACGAGCUCCUCCGACGAGCGGCUCGUGCGAGCUUCAACGGCGAGCAGCCCAGUGAGGUCGGCGAGCUCUUCCUCCAGCGAGCGACCAGCGACGAUUGGAUGGGCGGCGGAGUGUGGGCGGAUCAGGAGGGGUUGGCGGCCUGCGGGCGGGCGGAGGAUGGGGGCGGCACGCGAGCUCGGGGAGGAUCAGUGCGGUGCCGAGGCGGCGGAUCGGGUGGUGGCGCUCAGGUGGGUGGGGAGACGGUGGCGCGCGGGAGGGAGGGAGGCGGCGCAUGGCCAGAUGGAGCAUCGCGCCGAUGGACGCCCGAGCGGGCCAGCGGGAGUUGCGGCACGCGUGCGGGAGGAUAGGGAGGAGAAGAUAGAGGUGGAGUAGAAAGUGAGGGGUAAUUCUGUCAUUUCGCAGUUAGCUGGCUGGUUUUAGUCCUAAUUUGGUGGGAUUUGUGGACUAAUGGAUUAAACUUUAGUUGGGAUGAAAUUAAAAUUUAGUCCAAUAUUUAGUCCACCUAUUUCGAUUAUCUAAUAAAUUAAUUUUUUUAAACGAACCGGCAGAAGAGCUGCCUGUUAUAUUAAUUAGAAGGAGGAAAAUCAUGGAAGUCCAGAGAUACAAUACUGCAUAGGAUGUUACCUAUUCACGCCGUAAGAAAAAGAGAAGAUAAAACUUUAUACUUAACACUUAAACUUUGCUCACUAAACUAGCCAGGUGCUUUGCUCAGCAAAACUUCAAAUCAAAAUUUUAUCUUUGAUCUUUGCUCACUAAACUUAUUUAAAAUUAAAGUUUAAUCCAUAGAUCCAAAUAAGAUCAUACUCCAAAUCGGAGGAAGAGGACUUGAGCCAUGUCCUAAGAAAGAGAUGCCACCAUUGAGCAUCACGAUGACGCAAUCAGGAGAAUUGACUACAAUUUUAGAGGAAAAGAAUAGGUUAUGCUUAUUAUGGGCUGUGGCUAAUGUCCUCAAGUAACGAACCAAACAAAGCUUGUGCACCGGACGGAUAAGCUCCCUCCCCAAGCGAGACGAGCGAACACCUUUUUGUCCUUUCUCAGCCUGCCAUCGAUCAAUUCGUUAACCGGUGGCUCGUUUUCGCCGUCCCUUGAGCAGGGUUCCAGCCUCAGGCCCGCCACAGCCACCGCCCCCUCCCGCUCCCAAACGCGAAGGCCGGCGCCGCUGGGCCGGCGGUAUCCGCCGCGCGCAGGGUACCAUGGCACGGGCCGCCGCCCUGCGGGGCCUGGCCGGCAUUGCGGCGGCGGGCGGACGCCGCGCGCGCGCCUGCGGCCAGCGGUGGGACGCCGGCUGGCGUGGGUUCCGCGCGGGGCCCUCCGGGGGCAGGGCGGCGGCGGCGGGGCACCGCGGCUCCUCGCCUUCCCGUUCCUCAGCGGCCUUGGCGGCGCGGCAGGCGGGGUCGCUGCGCGGCGCGGCGGCUGCAGCGGGGCGCAAGGGCUGGGUCAGCGGCGGAUUCGAGAGGUGGGCAAUGCAGGCGCAAUGAUCGCGCCAAUCGAUGGGUUAAUAUGGCGUCUAUCUUUGUUCCUAAAUUCGAAUUAAUCAGUGUUAUGUUAUCCAUGUGUGCUCGUGUCGUGUUCGUGGAUCAGUGGAUAAAUGUUUACUUGAUAGAUAAGUGUUGUGGUGCCUAAAUUGCCUAUGCUCGUGAUGUUGCAGGGAGAUAUUGUUAAUUCAAAUUGAUUAGCUUGACGGGCAUUAGGAUGCAAACAUGGGAUGAUGACGUAGAAUAUUACAUGGCAGGUCCAUGGUCUUUUCCAUCAAAUAUUCAUCUUACCAACACAUUUUUGAUAGUGGAAGCUUGAGAGCUCACUGAAAUGCUGUUGCAGUUGUGCGACUAAAUAUUUUACAGAUAUCUCUUUUUGUGAGGCUAAUGGCGUGAUAAAUGGAUAUAUAAAGUUUUAUCUAUUGGCCUUCAAUAUAUAAUUUUAGGUUGCUGGCUUUAAGUAGUUACAUUGUUCUUGCAAUACCAACUUUGUGUGCUCAACGGCUCACAUUUCUCCAAAAUCUUCUAAAGAUUCAUACAUUACUUUGAUUAACAUAAGGUCAAUAACUUUGUUGGCAGUGAGGAUGGUAAGGUGACCUGUGGAUAUUCAAGCUAUAUAGGGCGGAGACCUACUAUGGAGGACUGCUAUGCCGUUAAAUUAACUAAAGUUGAUGGACAGCCAGUUAACCUGUUUGGUGUAUUUGAUGGUACCAUUUUCACUCUUGCCUUUGAAACUUCGCAACUCCUUGCGCAUCAUAUUAGUUGAUGUCUUGGUCCACUAGGUCAUGGAGGAAACCUUGCUGCUGAAUAUCUGAAGGAUAAUCUUUUCAAUAACCUUAUGAAGCAACCUGAGUUCCUGACAGACACAAAGCUUGCAAUAAGUAAUGUGUUUACCUUCUGUUUAGUGGCGCCUUUUCAUCUGCUAUCCAUUCUAAUGCUGCAACUCUUAUAUUCGUUUUGUUUUUGGCUACUUUUGCAAAACACAGGCAAAGCAUUCCUUGAAACUGAUGGGGAUAUCUUAGAAACAAUAUCUAGUUCAUUUAGAGAUGAUGGUUCAACAGCUUUGGCUGCGGUUCUGAUCGGCAAGUGUCUAUAUGUAGCAAAUGUUGGUGAUUCACGUGCUGUUGCUUCAAAAGCUGGCAAAGGUAAAGUGGCGGCAAGAAAGAAAAGACCAAAACGUACAGCAUCCACUUCUUAUAUUUCAAAAUUAAUAUCCAUUUUGUCGUUAUUCUCCCUCUGUUUUUUGAAUUGGAUGUUUUAAACUAAUUAGCUUGUCCCAAAUGUCAUAUUUUUUAAAAACGGAGGGAAUAUUUGUUUUUACCAGUUUUUGUAUAUUAUACCUGAGCAUGGUCAAUUGAACUGGUACUCUGCUGAGCUUCAGUCACCAAGGGGAGUUGCUCUUAUUUCUAUUCACAUGAUUAAUGAAUAUAACUGUGCUGGAAUAAAAUUUUAUCAACGCAACACUGCUUCAUUAUGUUGCUAUUUUGCCUUGAUAAGCUUCCAAUGACUUUAGAAUCUGUCAAUGUUAAUUAUUCGUUGGUUUAUUUGUCAUGUGUCAAGAAUAUGUUAAACUUGACAUAUUUCUGUGCUCUAUAGCUGUCCCACUGUCUAAAGAUCACAAACCAAACAGGAAAGAUGAACGAAAGCGAAUUGAGGAUGCUGGAGGUGUUGUUAUAUGGGAUGGUAAGCCUUUUUAAUCUUCAGAACGCUCUUAUUGUAUUUAAGCCUGCUUAAUUGGAUAAAAACAAAAUAUUUAGCCUGAACCUCAAGCCCUCCAGUUUUAAGCGAGUCUGAUAUAUGAUACGUUUAGGACAUUACGUUAGUUUAAUGCCGUGUCAUUUGCUUGUGUCUAUACUUGUUUUUCCUGUUUUUCAAGUACUCUAAUGGUUGAAGGUGCUUUAUAAGUAUUGAGUGGUUGCUGUAAUUCUUCAUUUGACAUUAGCACUUCUGCAGAUACAUGGAGGGUUGGUGGCAUUCUGGCAAUGUCCCGUGCAUUUGGCAAUCGUAUGUUGAAGGAAUAUGUGAUAGCCGAACCUGACAUUCAGGUAUCCAUUUGAAGUCUAAUUAAAACUUUCAGUAGUUUGGCAGUCCAUUGAUACCUAGGCAAGGGUUUGUGGUUGGUCUUAGAACUGGAUCAGCUAACAGGAUAAAUCAAGCUACUUAACAAGCUAAAAAACAUCUUACACUAGUUCAUCCUUGAUUCUUUGAUUUAUAGAUGUACCUUUGUAUCAAUGUAUCAUUAUGUUAUUUGUAACAUCAGCGAGUAUUAAUGUUGUUGCAAUAACCAUAAAAAGUGGGUAUUACUGAAAUAAGAUGAGAAGCCCAGAGUUUCUCUUGAGAAGAAGUUUGUUUAAAGGCUUCAUUUUUUCUGUUCUUUUAGUGGUUCUGUGUCGUAUGUGGGAAAGAGUAAAGGGACUCUAUUCAUGGAAGGGAACCUUUUUCCUUUACUGGUUUUCCGUGGUAAGGGAAAGGUUGGAGCAUGCUAGCAUGGUUUCUCCUGAUUAAAUUUGUCACACGGGACUACUUGGCAAGUGUUAGGUAUUUCUGGAGAGAUAGGCAUCACAGUCAUAACACAUCUAGACAUUCUAAAUACUCAGGAACUAGAAUAACCAAUGAAGACUGUCAUGGUUUCUGCCUAUCAUGCUACAAUGAGGUGUGAACCGUAAGUUUCUCUCCUUUUAGGUUUGUAUCUUGUGAAAAAGGGCAUAAAUCUUAAGCUGUCAGUAGGACUUCACUGAAGUCUGGAAGUGAUACUUUGGAGUUUAGGUUCUCAAGUAUUUGAAGCUCAUGAUUAGUCCAUUCAAAAUUUUCUUGAUGUUCUUGACUUGCAUAGGAUUAUAGUCUUCUGAAAAGUUCUUUUUAGCAAUUUGAUUUCUUGUGUCAGAUAAGUCCAAUGAAAAAGUAACCUUUGGUAACGUCUAUGAAAUGCAGGAAGAAGAGGUCAACAGUGAUUUGGAAUAUCUAAUUCUUGCUACCGAUGGUCUUUGGGAUGUUGUGCGAAAUGAGGUAUCUCCUUGAAUUUCAGAUUCUAACAACCAGCUAUGUGAACCUGCUGGUUGUGUAGUCAAGAAGAAACCUUCACAGUACCAUACCACCUAGCUACAGAGCUACUGGUAUAAUUUACUAAUUUAGAAGGGUUGCUCUGUUCUCGGUGAACUUGAUCAAUCUCUUCAUGCAAGGCCUCCCUAACAGUUAUUGACAUGCUAUCCAAUGUAUCCUGUCUCAAACGGUCACACACAAGAAGAAUGUUCACAGAUUGGAGACAGUGAACAAGGUCUUUUUCAUAUUAUUUUAAGGUUAUAUGUUCUCCAUUGCUAAUCAUUGUUUACCUCGUUUAUCAACAAGGAUGCUGUUGCUCUUCUGAAAGCGGAAGAUGGAGCUCAGGCUGCGGCUGUGAAGCUGACGGAAAUCGCCUACUCCAGGCAGAGCGCAGACAACAUCACAUGUGUCAUCGUGCAAUUUCACCAUAACAAGUAGUCGGUUUAGACAGUUUUUAGUAUCAUGUUAGUACAAUUUUGUAUGGCGUCAUCCCAAAAAAUCCAUAAACCACAGUUGCUUUUGCGUAAUAUAUGCGGCUGCUACAAGACAUGAGCAACCCUGAAAGAGAUUCGUGGAUUCAUUCUUUUGUUCUGUAGGAAAGAAAACAUCCCAAACGAUGAGCUCGAAUGAAAUUUCUUCAGUUAUUUUUUACCAGCUUCACAGAAGCAUUCUGCACUUCUUAUGUUUGCUUUGUGGUGGUUCUUGGAUGCGAAGCGGUUCUGAUUUCCGGCGCUGAGUUGCAAUAUAGUAAAACCCUUAAUUUUAAUUUUGCGAAUUUUCAGUCAAAACAUACAGAAAGUUCUCAGUUUUUGGAGGGAUUGUUUGCAUCCCGGCGUCUUAUGGAGAAUUGGCAUAACAGAAUUGGCUAGCGGAAAUGUAUGGAUGUUAUGUGGCCGAAUGUAGGAAAAUUUAUCGAAUUUGACAAACGAAAUAAUCCUUGCAAACAUUUUGGCAAUGAUUGAAAUCUGUCAUAUCCUUGGACGGCGAAGUUUUUCGGCAAUGUGAUUCCAGAUGAUGAGCACCUGAUUCAGUUGAGCAGUCAACAGAGAUCCAAGGGAGUCUGACAGACCCGAACCGUAAUCAACCAGGAUCGAACGCUCUCAAGCGUCAAAAAAAAAGCUUCCAUAAGACGGAGUAUGGUAAACUCGUUGGACGUCACAGCAAAAGAUACAACGGUGAUAGUAAUUAAACAAAUGGGAAGUCUCUAAGCUCUAGUAUCUCAGUACCGGCUUUACCAACACAAAAAAAGAAGAUACCAUACAUAUAAUAAGGGGAAAAGAGGACAGCAUGCAGCAAUCGGGUAUGCCAGCCAGGAUGAGAUCAUCGAUGAUCGCAAUUCAUAGCACGUACUCGAUCCUGUCUGUGACGAGGCAUUUGGACUUGUGCUUGAUCCUACGGAGGGUCCGCUCCCCUUGUUGAUUGUCACCACAGGGAACUACAUCCACACCAGUGAAAGCGACCACCUGAGGACCAUCUUGAGCAUCUGCACUAUUGAAGAAUAUGGCAAGGCAAAACCGACCAGAGCCAAGGUUCACCAGCGUGCGACUUUUCAGCAACCAGUCCUUGGGCAGGUCAACAUCAAGCCCAACAUGCUGCAUCGGUGGCACAUCACAAGAAUCUAUGGCAGCAGUAGAGAGGUCCAAAGCGCACAGGUCGGAGGGACUGCUUGCCGACAGGCCAAGCCACAGGUCGAGCUCAGGAACAUACUCUGCUUUGGUGUGGAAGGGCAGCACCCAAUCACCAGUCUUGCUCCACUCAAGGGUCACCGUGUCGAAAGAGUAGGUCGCAGUGGCAGAUGAUACACAGAUUCGAGUACCAUCAACGAUUGCAUAGGCAAUGUUGUUGCAGGCCUUGUACUCCAGGUCAUCAAAGAACGGUGGUGAUGGCAGUGCGCGCCAUUGCCACUCCCCCACAGGGUAGUAUGCAAGCACUUCAAAGCAGCCCGGUUUGUCCUGGCCCAUGUCCAUCAUGUAGAGGCUGUCAGUGUGCUCACCACAGGGUUUCUCGUUGAAGAAACCAUAGUCCACCUCUGGGUUGAUAUCAAAGUCAGACCUUGCAUGGGCAGGAGUACGGGUUAUAUGAGCAGCCAUGCAAUUGGGUCCCUUGGGCGAAUUCAGAGAAGGCAUGGUCAUGAAGGAGCGGAACUCAGUGUUGUAGAUGUUGGUGUGGCCUUCCACGUCUGAGUAGAGGAUCUUGUUCUUGCUCUCGCCAAAGAGAGCGAACACAUUAACCAAACUGUUGGGAUUAGAGACAGCAGACGAGAAUGGUUGGUAGUAUAUGCUUGGUCUAAGCAAACAGCCGAUGCCCCCUAGCCUAUGGAUGCCAUUCUUCUUCUUUGCUUUAGCCUCUGCCUCCAGUGCUUGUGCCGUUGAUGGGUAGAAGAGCUUGGAUACGUCCAUGUGCCUCAGCGAGUACAAGCCACGCCCCUCGUUCAACACCAAAUGCAGAGACUGACGACUCAACUUCUGGCAGCUCAUCUUCAACUUUAGUAGUUCAAGUUUCCUUAACCUGAAGGUCCAAACAAGGAAAGAGAAUCAUUGCACAACGGAACAAAACGAAUGUGCGACCUUAAUUAAUUUUCUAUUCGUUGGUACACUGAAUGAACUAAAAAAAGGGCAUAUAUAUUCAGUGAGGAGGCUAAGAAAUAGAGUAAUUAUUUUGAAUGUCUCAGUUAACUAUCACUACCAGAGGAAAGAGCACUUUCUGUUCAUUAUGCAUGAUUAGAGCGUAUCAUAAAAUAUUUAUAGAAACGAACAAUAUCAUCAGAAAAAGAACUUAUCCCUAAAUUUAUCGCAUAAUCAGCACAGAUCUGGAGAAAAAUCAUAAAAUAUUUAUAGAAAACAAUAUCAUCAGGAAAAAAACUUAUCCCUCACUUCAUCACAUAAUCAGCACAGAUAUGGAGAAAAACUAGCCUGGUACACAAUUCUAGCACAAAUCAAAUGGUCUGUCCCAUCGGAAUGGGCUUGCUCAGAGAGAGAGAGAGAGAGAGAGAGAGAGAGAGAUUUUUACGGCAGGCGGCGAAGUGGACGGGGCCCCAGAAAGCACUGCAGCGUCGAUCAGGGCGGCCCCGGAGAAGGAAGGGGAGGAGAGGAGAGAGUACCUCGAAUUCCGUUUACCGCUCAACAAGGGCCGGGCCCACCUUUUUUACAUUUUGGCUCUUUUUAAAAAAAAUUCACAUUUGGACCUCUGAGAACUAGACCCCUGGAGAACGUAUGAAAUUUGGACCCUGAUGAUCGGCGCCGUGACUCACGGUGCCGUGAGCCAGGGAGUUGAGGUCCCACCCCCCGGUUAAACAUGGCACCGACGUGGCAGAGACCUCGACGCCACAGACCAUGGCGCCGAGCUCAGCGCCACAGAUUUUAGGGCCGAGCUCGGUGCCAUGGUCUAUGGCGCUGAGCCUGCUUGCAAAAUCCCACUCCCCAUUUCUCUUGCCCGAGCCUUCUUCCAUUUGUUCUAAGUUUUCGUCUCGGUUUUUCUCUCUUCCCUACCCGCCAAUCCUCAGAAAUUGACAUAUUCAACCUCGAAAACUUUGAUUUGAUCCAGGGUUUAGGGUUUAGUUAAUUUGUGUAUUAUGCAAUAGUAGGAUGUUAAGGCGUGGUAAAUCUAGUAAACUAAGGAUGAUGAUGGGAACAUUCUUCACCCGUUUGCCGCUGCCUAGUGGUGUCCCAAUGAUGAUGUGUUUCUGCGAUGAUGCUUGCAAGAUAGCCAAAUCCGAUGAAGAGAAAACCUAUAACCAGAGGUAUUGGAUGUGUGACAACCAUGCGUUCGAUCCCACACCUCGUCAGAUCCAUAUGGUUUGAUGGUAACAAUUUUGUUAUUUUCUCAUAUGAAAUCAUGUGUGUGUUAUGUGCAAUAUUAUGAUUGUGACAAUUGCAUUUUUUGCAGACCCCUCCCCCGCUAUGUGAUUUUGAGCAAUGGAUCGACACUGAGAUCAAGGAGGAGGACAAGGAGUAUCUGCGCAGUAUGAAGCAGUGGGAUGCGGAGAGAAAGGAGUUGCUGGAGAAGAGACGCCAAGAUAAGGGAGCAGAAAAGGAGCGCAAAGAAGAGUGGAAAGGAGCCAUGCUGCCGAACGCAGGAAGGAGAACGAGCAGAAGCUAGCGCAAGUUCGUCGUGUGAAAGUAGCAAUGGAGGAGAAUCCAGAUGCAUUGAGGAAGGGGAAGUGGCCUCGUUGCACCUAGUAGUCUUGCAGUAAUCUGUGUGUUGUCAUGUAAUGGACUUGAUGUUGUUUCAUUGUGCUCUCAUGUUGCAGGUUUAUUUCAUGCCUUUAUUGUAAUGGACUUGAUAUUAUUUCAGUGUGUUCUCAUGUACUCGACUAGUCAUUAUAUCAUCUCUUAUUGUGUAUUCCAGUAGACUAGUGUGUUGUUAUUUGAUUCAUUGUGGCCAUAAUAUGUAUUUCAAUACUGCACAGCUAUUUAAACACUCCAAAGUAAUGGAAUUAAUGAUUGCCGAAGUAGUCCAGUACAUAAUUGAACACGUACAAGACUUGAACUGGCAUGUGAGGACAUCUACGAAAUAAGGGUAAAGAUGUCUGGAGUUAAUGUAAACGUAACAUGCUUUAGGUAAUUAAACCGAACAACAAACAUAUGGAUGCAACAUUUGAAUAAGAUACGCUACUCUUAAUGUUGUUCUCACAUAGCAAAUUGUGUUGACCCUUCUCGAUAGUAUCCUCCCAUUGUAGGCGGUGGUGGCGGUGACAGUUGCAAUAUGGAUCACUGCUGUCACACCCGAUUUUUAAAGACAAAACUGAAUGCAUAACUAUAUGUAUGCUAGGAUCAAGUUCCAUACAUAUAGUGACUUCAUCAGUGAAUAAUCAGCAACAGUAUGACGAAAAGAGAAUUAAAAGACUAUAAAGAUUAUCAGAGUUAUACAGCUUAUCCUGGAAACGUAGACUCCAAACUUCACAGGCAAUCGACCGGGGGGUUCUGCAGGCCUAGAACUCAGCAUCAUCUUCAAAAGACUUCACAUCACUUUCUCCUCUGAGCAGCAAUUAUAACAAGCGUGAGUACACUUAUGGUUGGUACUCAGCAAGUGUUGGGAAUUAUAUGACAUGAAGGCCAAAAUCAAGAAAAGGCUGACUGGCUUACUGCGAUAAGCAAUUUUAGUUGGUCAAGUUUUAUUAGCACCUGAUUACUAAGGUAUAAUUUCAUAUCAAAAACCCACAUUAAAAGAGAGAGAAGAGAUACAGCAUAAGUAUAACCACAACCAUAUACAUGGUCCACGAUAACCAUAACCAUAACCAUGGUCCACGAUUUAAUUCAUCUUCAAGUUCAAUUAUCAUGUGAGGGUCCAAGCCGCUCUUAACCGUGAGCACGGCUGAUAUAUCAGUUUUCACUCUGCAGAGGCUGUACACUUUACCCACAAUUCGUGUCUCCCGAUUUGCCUGAGGUAGCUAGCCUCUUAAACACUUCCGAGGUGAGUGGCAAGGGAUUCACUAUGAGGCCUUUACAAAGAUUCCCUAACUUAUGAUAAUCCGCUAAGGUUUCAAGUCAAAGCGGUCAUAACCCUCCCUAAUGAGGAAAUAUCUUAGCCAAGGACCACAUAGCCAUGUGCCUCAAAAGGACCGAGCUAUACCCCGUCGAUGCAACCCCUCUUGCCCUUUCGGUAAGAUCAUCAUAAGCUAGUGUUUCUAAUUAAUCAGCCAAGACCAGAGCCAUAUAGUAUUGUGGUUGCACUGUUUUCCUGGGUGGUUCUCCAUGUUCCGAUUAAAACAUAUAAUCUUGUGAUUAACAUCACCAAGAGCAUGAACAUGGAUAAAACAAGUAUAACAUCAUCAUUGUUGCCAUCAUGAUUAUAUAUUAUUCCCAAACCAUAACCAGUUGAAGCAACUAAGCAAUACCUACCCAACAAUAAAGAUAAAACCCAGGUUGACAAGGAAUGAUCAUAAAGACUAGGCAUAUCUUUAAUUAGGAUCCAUCAAUAUUAGGACACUUGCAUGCAUAUAAAGGAAAUGUUGUAUUUAUUGUGAUUAUUAGGACAAAAGCAUGAUCAAGGAAACACUUGCCUUUCUUUUAGAGAAUAGCUGCUCAGAGUCUUCAACUUUUGUUCUUCAAACUCUAAAUAUUCAAAGCUCUUGGAUCACGCUCCUUCUAACGUCACACAAGCAUCCGAUCGAAGCAUACAAGCAAGCAAACAAACAAGAACAACUAAAAACAGAUAGAACAAACAAAAGAAAAGCUUUAAAAAAGUGAACUAAAGGAUAAGGCUCGUUGCUACAAUCACGAGAAAGAAAGAAACACGGAAAACGGAGCUAGGGUUGAAAAGAUACAGCUAUCGGGAGAUUUAUAUUAAAAAGAAAUAAAGAACUAUAGGCUUUCAUUUAUUUUAAUUUAGAAAACCAAUGUAAAAGAUAUUCAAAAGAGAAUAUCCCUAAUUAUAAUUAACUCAUAUUAUAUUUGCAUUUAUAAAGACGAAGUAGAACAUAGUCAAAUUUUAUAUACAAUUCUCUAUGUACAAAUUAUCCGAAUUAAACAAUUAAUUAGAAAAGAAAACUUGUGAGAACAUCUAAACGCAUAACUUUAUGAUUCGAGUUGAACUAAACAAAUUGAAUUACAAACACAUUUAAGUUGAUAUUAAUCGAAAUAACAUUAAUUAUGAAAAUCGGAGAAAAGACUUAAUUGGAUUUUAAUUCGGAAAACUAGAUGAGAGGAUAUUAUUCAAAUUAAAUUGAUAUCUAAUUUUAAAAGCAGGAAUUAUGGCACAACAACGCUACUAAACAAUAGCUUAGGGUUUUAGAAGACUAACGCAAAAAGAACGGAUCGAAACGGAUUUAAAACGCGGGAACUACGCAUGAAACAGUGCUGCAAGGACCUAUACGCGAUUAACUAUAGACUUUAGGGAUUAGCAGAAAAGAAAUACAAGACACAGAAAAUAGUGCUUGCAAAAAUAGAAAAGAUUAGGGUUAGAUCUGAAAAAUUUCAUGGUGGGGCUGGAUUGAAAAGAUGGAAAAGAUCUAGGGGGUUUUCUGCGAAAUCUGCAAGACACAGGAAAGAACAGGAAAAUUACAUCUUUCUCCAGGGACUAAAUCGCGAAAAGCUUGGAACGGGCAGCGAUGGUGACCGGCGGGUACUGUAGCUCAAAUUGCCGGCGAUUUAGGGCACGAGAGGUCGCGGGAAGUGGUGGAAAAGAAAGAGGACGACGAGGGGAUUCAAUUCCAUACCUAACUUACCCCGAGGAUGCAUCGUAGAGAUCGAAUUUCGUGGAGGAAGAUGAAGGGCGGGUCUGUUCAUAGUGGUUUCCGUUCCUGCUCGUUGUUCCUGUUUUGGUGGCGGUCUGCUGCGCACCAGGGCACUUGCAGGGAGGCUGCGGCUGCAGGAGGGAGGCAGUGCUGCGCCAGGAGAGGGAAGGGGCAGGGGCGGCGCUGGAGGGGAGGGGACGCACGGGAGCUGGCGGCGAUCUAGUGUGCGCAUAGGGCAACAGCGGCACGGCAACAGGGGGUGCAGCGCACGGCAGGACUGGCCUGCAGGCUGUGCAGGGAGGGGCACGGCGACGUGCGGCGCUAGCUGUGCAGGGGCACGAGCAGCAGGGAGUCAGGGCGACGGCGAUGGUGAUGCAGAGACGAGCGGAGGAGGAGGAUGCGUGGGGCAGCAGGGAGAUGCGGCGGCGCAUAGGGGUGGAGGCGCAGGGCCGUUCUUCACGCGCGGUAUGGGGUGCAGACGCGGUGGAGGCGACGGCGUGCAGGGAACAUGCAGAGAUCAGGGUUAUGCGAGAAUUUACAGGGCACGCAGGAGUCAACGCAAGGAAAAAAAUUAGGGCCGGUUAUUGGAAAACAGGUGGUACAAGACGCGUUUAAAUAGGCCUGGAGAUAACAUGCUGGGCUCUGACUCGAACGAGGAUAAGGACGCGGCGGCGCAUCGGGCUGGGACUCGUUCUUGAGUCCAUAUUGCUUGGACCGACCAGCGGGUCCCACAAUUUAACGAGCAAAGAGAGACGAUAGAAGAGGUAACGGAAAGAGGAAACGAGAAGGGCUAAGUGAGUUCAAAAUGAGCCGAAACAUGAUCGGGUGAGGGCUAAAUACGAAAACGAGCUGACUGAGCUGAUUGAACGUGAACCAUUUAUUCAGGAGCGCGAAAAGAGAAGAAAAGGAUCAGGCCGAGUCGUUGGGGCUGACGGUGAUCGAACAUCAUCGGAAAAACACUGAAGACCAGCCACGCGCGUCGUUUUCAUGCAUGACCUGAUCGAGGAGAAUGGUUAGAGGAUCAGGAACUCGAUGGAAUCUCUUAAAGAUUUGAAGAGACAAGAUUAAAAGGAUUUACAACAAGAUACGGCUCGGUCCGACUACGAUGAGAAUCAAAAUAGAAAUAUUUUCCAGAACAUAUUUUCAAGUUGAAAAUAAAUCUAGAAAAGUUCAGAUAAAUAUUUCAAACCAAGAAAACUAUAUCCGGAAGAAUCCCAAAAAUUUCCGAGGAAACUCGGAAGCUAAUUUUAGGACACGAGGAAUCCAAAAAGAAUAUUUGGGACUCAUGAAAAAGAAUUUUAGAGCUUUCCAAGUAAAAAAAAUGGAUCUAGCUCUUGGAUAAAUAGAAUAAUUGCCAAAAAAAUCUUUAAAAUUCUCAGAAAAUUCUAUUGAUAGAUGAACACAUUGUAAGAUACAUUCACAUCCUAAAAUUAAAUAUUUUAGGGUGUGACAACUGCACGGUGCCUCUUGUGAACUGGCACCGUUACUAUCUUCAUCCUCUUCCUCGUCCUUGUUACCGUCGCUCACUGCCAUUUCUAGAUCAAAGAUACGAUUCUGUAGGUAGUAGAUAUAGUCUUGAUGUGGAUGAAUAGGUGCAGGAUCAACCCACUGAACAAACCCGCAGUUUUCCGAAGCAGCGGAAGACUCAAAGAAAUAUAUCUUGUUAGUUGCAGAAAAGAAGAGAAAUAUAUUUAAAAAAUGAAUAGUAGGAAGAAUCACCCAUGCUCGCGGGCAUUUGAAAAAUCGUCGACCUCCAUCGACCCCCUCGGCGCACAUCUGCACUAAGCAGUCCUCACCAUGCAUACAUUUUGGCCAAUCUUCAUUGCGGUUAUUGUAUCCUCUGAGGGGUGCAUCCUUGGUGAAUUCACUCUUACUCUCAACUGGAAACUCAUACACUGCUUCCGGAAAGAAAUCAGGCCCAAGAGAUCCCUCCCAAACAAUUGGAGGUUCCUUCCUUCCUCCCUAUGCCGAAACCCUUUCCACUAGACGACUCUCCAGACAUUCUUACUCUAGUGUCUCUUGUCUUCGAAAUUAGAAGCAAUGUAUCCAGCAAUGCGUACAUAUAGAUGGAUGCAGGUUUACUACCCGUUCCGUGGCAUCGUAAAUGCACCUGAAAAGCCUACGGGCCUAGAGACCUAUACUGAAAAGCCUAUAUCGAAGGACACUGAAAAGCUUAUAUGAAAACACACUGAAAAGCCUAUUUGAAAACACACUGAAAAGCCUAUUUGAAAACACACUAAAAAGUCUAUUUGAAUUCAGAUUGCAAAGGCUAUAUCCUUUUGCCGAUUGGACAAUACAAGUUGUAAUAAAUGUAUUGGUACAUUCAUAAUUGCCAUAAAAUCAUGUUAUGCGCUUCAGUACUAUGAUGAACGAAUCACGGAAAAAAUUCGCAAGAGCUUCACUUGUUUUACAAGCAUCUGCCGUGACAAUAAUACAUCACAAUAUGAUACAAACAUGUAUUCAACCAAAUACCACCAACAUGUCCACCAAGAACCAGAAUAUUCACACAUGUCAGAAGCAUAGUCCAUAAGAAUAUCCACACAUGUUAGAAGCAUAGUCCAUAGUCCAUAAGGUCCAUACAAACAAUUAGAGACAAAAUCCAUACAGGCUAAAUAGUCCAUACAAGCUGAAUAGUCCGUAUAAACAAAUCAAAGACAGUCCAUACAAGCUAAAUAGUCCACACAAGCUGAAUAGCCCAUACACUCCAUGAACUAACCCUUACUGUCUCCUAGUCUUACCCUUGCCCUUACCAAGAGCAUCGGUGCGUGCAGUGUAAGGGUCACGUGGAUGAUGCUGCCUACGUGCUGCCUGUGUGAAGGCUGUGUGAAAGGAGCGUCUUCCAGCUGAGACAGUCCAAUCUCCUCGGCUUCGUCCUCCUCAUCAUCGCCACCACUAUCCUCGAAAGUAUCCCUUGUUGACUUGGACGAGCUCUGUCUUCUUGAGCCUGAGCCUCGCUGCAUUGAUAUACUGAGGCCUGCACAGGUGUUAGAUAGUCUUGUUGGUGGACCGUGCACGUCCAUCGCUGUGCUAGUCCUGCAACCACAAUGAGCAGCAGCACAGCGUAGACGACCUGCAAGUUGGUGUUUAAAAGAUAUCUAGGCCCCUUAGUGGGUUUUGGUGGUAGAUGACAAAGCACAUAUAUAUCUAAUCAUGUUAUCGAGCAUGUGUGCAGGGGCUAAGAAUGAUAAAGCAAAGCGUAUUACAAAAACAUGACCCCUCAAAAGGGAAAUGAAAAGCGGUGUUUCAAAUUUACUUGAAGAAUUAGAUUUUAUUUUGAAAUUGAGUAUAGGAAUGCCAUACUAUCAAGAGGGACUUCGAUCCACAGGUGUUGAUGUGGUAGUUGUGCUCAAGAGAACCUACAAAAGCCAUGAGAAUCAAACCGACCACUAAAAACAGUCUUCUUGUGAAAUUCUAUGUUAUAUCCGGAUUGUCCGGUUCAUAGUCCGGAAUGUCCGGACAUAGUGCUCCGGAAUAUCCGGACAAACACUCAGAGUUUCCAGGAAACUGUUACCCAUCCGAAGUUUUUCUGAGACCGGAGUCUCCGGACCCUAGUGUCCGGAGUAUCCGGACAUAUACCCGGAGUAUCCGGGUACCGUUUACCCAACGGCUAGUUUUCUGUGAGAGGGGGUAUAAAUACCCCCCAUACCCCUUCAUUCAUCUCUCUCUUGCUCAUUUCAACCAGAACACACCAGCAAGCAAAAGGAGAGCUCUCUCACUUCCCCUCUUUCAUUCUUGGGUGAUUUUCUUUGGGGAUUCAAGUGAGAUUGUUGCAAUAGCAAAGAUUUGUGCUAGUAAGCUUCCAUUCCAUCUCUUGAGCACAACAUCCUUGUCUAGCCGGUGGAUUCAAGUUUAUUACUCUUGGAGCUUCAAGCUCCUAGAUGGCUAGGAGUCACUUGUGAGUGCUCAAGCAAGUUGUGAGCAGCACAAGAAGUUUGUAAUCAUCAUUCCUUCUGAAGGAACACAUAGUAAGUAACGUUGGGUUUGAGCGUUGGUCUCACCCUUGGAAGAGGAGCAUAGGGGUUCUUGAGCACCAUCUCUUGUAUCCUUCCUCAACGGAGACGUAGCUCCUUUGGGAGUGAACUUCGGGAAACAAAUUCUGUCUCUCUCUUGUGCUCCUUACUUGUCUUUAUUAGUUAUUUGCUUGUGAGACUAACUUUCUAGGGCUUAUGGCCGAUCUACAAUUAUACUAGUCUCUAGAGCAAGAAAACUGGUAAGAAACGCUCUAAAGGUACCACUAGCUUGUCUAAAUUUACUCGAUCUAAAUUGCAGCAUCAAUAUCUUGUUAUUGUGUACAUUGUUUCAUACCCGAACUCUCUGGACAAUAUUUUCGGAAACUCCGGACAUAAAACCCGGAGUAUCUGGACAUAUAUCCGGAGUAUCCGGAUAUCUGUGUUACUGACAGUAUUUAAAGUGUUUUAAGUUUUAGAUUAGCCUAUUCACCCCCCCUCUAGGCAUCUUGAGAUCCUUUCAGUGUUUUACCGCCACGCCCACUGAGGGAUACCCCCGAGGUGGUGAGUUUGUAGGUAGGGUGUCACCGAGAUCAGGAACUCGAAGGUGCAAAGGAACAUAGGGUUUUAGAUAGGUUCGGGACGCCGAGAGCGUAAUACCCUACGUCCUGUGUGGUUUGUAUUACUUUUGAUGAUGAUUGGGUGAUCUCCUGGGUGAUUCCCUACAUGAUCGCUGGGUUAUCCCCUGGAGGGGGUACCUGUCCGCCCUACAGUAGUAAAACUAGUCGGAUACAUGCCCUAGAGUCCUACCCGAGUACUUUUCUGAUAGUUUCCUACUGUAUCUGACUAGUUUUACUAUAGUAGGAGUAGUUCUACUAGUCUACGAGUAGUUACAACAGAUGCAGGGUGUGGCCGCGGCCCCAACCAUUAUCCUAGGAAAAGUAUGCCACGUGUACAGCCCCGUGUACUCGGGUCUGAAAGCCCCGAGCUCUUCAUAGCUGAGUACUGCAGGCGUCUGAAUACUUCUGAAGGCGUCUUCGAGUUCUCCCAAACUUCAUCUUGAAGGUGUCCUCCGAAUACUUCCUUGGCUUCAUCGAGGCUGUGAGGUGCUCAUGCCCCGAGUAGUUGUCUUCUUUCAUAUGGGGUGUGAUUGAAUUCGCACUCUAUAUAGAGUAGCGCCCAAGCCUUAGGUGGACUCGCAGAAUCAGGCUGAUGGUCAAUUCAACCUUGAGUCUUCUAUCUUUAUCUUCCAGGAGAUUUGAAAAAUAAGUCGCUGAUGACACGUGCCCUGCAGCCCCUGAGACUUGAAUCCAAAUCCCCGAGUUUUGGAAUGAAGGAUCCAAGGAAUCGUGGCUUGCAAUAUAUGACAGUAGAGAUUUGAUGGUUAAGAUGGGCAGAUCAGUUCAGUAAAUUUGAAAACCUCUUUGUUCGAGAAUCAUUCCCUAAAAAAAUAGCUAAAUAAAUAACUUCACCAAAAAAUGCCCUAAAUUACCACUCAAAUCAAACCUACGUUGCUGAGAGCCGUGUCGUAUCCAACCCCCAAGCCUGGGAGCUAAAAGAGUCGCAUAAUAUAUGCCUAGUAGUCGGUGACGCUAGCCCCCGAGCCUAGGUAUUGGCCAAGUUGCCGCUGAAUCUCGAAUUGCCGAUGAAGCCCACUGGUCGGAGUCGAUUCCAAUUAGUUUUGUAAGCGAGAUGAGUGGUCGAUGUAGUCUCCAGCGUGUUGCCAAGCACAGUCGAUUCCGACUAUCUUGUAGGCGACACGAGUAGUCGAAGUAGUCAGGCAUGUGUCACCGUCCGUUCUUCACGAAGUCCAGCAGUCGCCGAUGGUUGUUGAUGAACCCAACUAGUUGGAGUUGAAUCCGGCGAGUAGUCGUUGGAGUCAUCGACGUGUAGGCAAGCGUUCUCAAAAAAUCGGAGUAGUCGUUGGCGAUUAUUGAUGAAGCCAACUGAUCGGAGUUGAAUCCGACUUGCCCAGCAGCACGGUCCAGAUCAGAUCCCCUGCAAGGUAAACAUAAAAGUAUGUUGUAAUUGAUAAACAUGAAACCGUGUUGGGAGCAUUGCCCUUGCAAUAAACUACAUAUAUAACUAGUUGAAAACUAGUAAACGGAGAAAUAUUGAAAGUAUGGGAGCGAGACCCCUUCAGUAAUAUAGAGUACUAGUCGGAGACUUAGUAGUUGGAAUGUUACUGGAAGUAUGGGAGCGAGGCCCCUUCAGUACACUACACGUAGUACUAGUCGAGAACUAGUAAAAUGGAGCAUUAAUGGAAAUAUAGGAGCGAGGCUUCUUCAGUACACUAUGCGUAGUACUAGUCGAGAACUAGUAAAAUGGAGUGUUACUCGAAAUAUGGGAGCGAGGCCCCUUUAGUACACUGCACGUAGUACUAGCCGAGAACUAGUAAAACGGAGUGUUACUGGAAAUAUAGGAUCGAGGCCCCUUCUAAUACACUACGCGUAGUACUAGUCGAGAACUAGUAAAACGGAGCGUUACUGGAAAUAUGAGAGCGAGGCCCCUUCAGUACACUACACGUAGUACUAGUUGAGAACUAGUAAAACGGAGCGUUACUGAAAAUAUGGGAGUGAGUCCCCUUCAGUAAUAUAGCAUAUCAGUCGAAGACUAAUAGUGUAUUACUAGAAGUAUGUAAAGGUGACUGGAAGUCAAUUAGCGAAAGAUAGAUGAAUCCUUCUAGUAGCUUCAGUCAUAUCCUUAGGCGGACCAUAAGAAUUCACUUGUUGACUUGCAAAAAUAUCACGGUUGGCCCUAAGGGAUUGAUGACGAGAUCUUUCACAUGAGGCGAUGAGCUCCUUGGGCGGGCCAAGACAAGUCUCAGUUGGCGUUGAUACAGAAGUAGUCGUUGCCAUGUGAAGAUGUCUCGGUUAGCCUGAAGGAAUACCUUGGGCAGGCCAAAACAAGUUGUAUGGCGCUGAAGUAAGGAUGAACGAACAUGUCCUGUUUUGGGUAAACUCCUUGAUCCCCUGACCGAGUGGUUGAACGAAUGCUUUGGGAGAAAACCCUUUGUGUCGAGAUGAAACUCGAGACAAUUAUUAAACAAAUUCCCUAAAGAUCUCCGUAAAACCUCCUUCAAUAGGGUCACUGUCUUCUCAUAGGUGAUUGGCGAUCUUGAUUCGUUGGUGAUUGUCGAUGAAGCUAUGUUGCUUGUUGAUGAAGCUGUGCUAGCUUGUUGAAGAUCCCGACUAGUCGGAGUCAAUUCCAACUAGUCACUGGUGGUGUGAGUCCUGCUUCCGGCUAGUUGUGUAGUCGAAGUAGUCGGCGGCGGGUCGCCGAGUGCCCUGGCGAUGGCGAAGUAAUCAUCGAGGAGUCGAGGGUCGUGCCUGCGUGGAGCAGUGCUAGGCUCGACAAGUUGUCGGGGUUGCUGGCGCAAAAAGGUGGGCUAAGCCGGGUAGCUUGGAGGGUCCAUGCCCUUCCGAUACCCUGGCUUGCCCUUCCAAGAUUGUAGCGCAAAAAGGUGGGUUGAGCCGGGUACCUUAGAGGACUUGUGCCCUUCCGAUACCCAGGCCCGCCCAACCAAGUUAUAGGCAAAGAAAGGUGGGCUGAGCCGGGUAGCUUGGAGGACCCGUGCCCUUCCUAUGCCCAGCUCGCCCAACCAAGUUGUAGGCGAAGAAAGGUGGGCUGACCCGGGUAGCUUGGAGGACUCGUGCCCUUCCUAUGCCCAGGCCUGCCCAACCAAAUCGUAGGCGAAGAAAGGUGGGCUGAGCCAGGUAGCUUGGAGGACUCGUGCCCUUCCUAUGCCCAAGCCAGCCAUACCAACAUGGAGGCGCAAAAAGGGUGGGCUGAGCUGGGUAGCUUGGAUGACUCAUGCCCUUCCAAUGCCCUGGCCCGCCCUACCAAGAUUGAGGUGCCAUCAGGUGUUGGUGGCCGUUUGGUAAAGGUAUGGCGUUGUUGAUGAAGUCCGAGUAGUCGGCAAGGAUGGAACCAUUCGAUAGAUGUUGGCUGGUCCUUCUCCAACUUGAAGUAGACGAUCCAAAUCCUCCUCCGACUUGUAGUAGGCGAUCCAAAUUCUCCUCCGACUUGUCAUAGUCCAUCCAAAUGCUCCAUCGACUUAUCGUAGACGAUCCAAAUCCUUCUCCGCCUUAUGGUAGAUGACCUCUGGCUGAGGGGGAUUCGGAUAGAGGGGUUCCGAGUCGUCGAUCGAGUCAUCGAUUGCAUGGUUGAUUUCCAUGCCGGUGGUAUGGUUGCUUCAUGUUGCUUCUAGUUGGGAAAAAUUGAAUUCCGUCAAAACCAUUGGCAAAGUUGUGCUGGAGCAAAGCCCCUUCAGUAAACUACGCGUAAUACUAGUCGGAAACUAGUAAACGGAGUGUUUCUGGAAGUUUGGGAGCAAGGCCCCUUUAGUAACACAGCAAACUAGUUGGGAACUAGUAAUCUGACGUUACUGGAAGUGUUUGAUAGAUAAUCACAUAGGUGCUGUAUUUGGUUAAUUGAUGGGUUCCACUAGUCAUUGCCAAAUGAGACAACCACUCUUGGCAGUCGCAUGGUUCGACUGUGAUAGGAUUCCCUGAGUUUAGUAAGGGAAUCGUGAUUAACCCGAGUAGAUGAAAAUAAAUAGCAACCCUGACUAAGUGGUAAAAAGGGGUUCUUUUGGGUGUAUGGAACCUCUUAUUUCGAGAUAUAGUCUUGAAACAAUGGUUUAAACAAACGAAACACCAAAAAGACCCUCAUAAAACCUCCUUGAGCCGGGUACUUAAUUUAUGUGUAAAUCAUUAGUCAGGUAGUCCUGUCGCCUUUUGUUGUGGACUUGACAGAGCUCCAAGGGCCCUCUGAAGGGCUUGACAUUCAAAAGUAGAAUGCUUGCUCUUCGGGUGGUAUAGGCAUUGUCUGUGGAGGACUUCCUCAAGUCAUUUAUUUGAACUGGGAGUGUUUUUCCUAUGAGUGGAUUGUUCCACGGCUUCUGGCUUGCACUUCCGAGUAGUCUCCAAGUACUCGAGAGGGUGUUAGUUGCGGGUGGGGCUGUAGGCUUCCACUUCUUCACGCUCCUGCCGCCUGAAAAUGAUGACAUUGUGGGCGUCCAGGCCAGCGUUGAUGAUGGCUCGAAGGUCACUUGUGGAGAAGUCGUGGAGGUUAUGGCUUCCCUGCUGGUUUGUCUUGACGGCGCGGUGCCUACGUUGGGUGCGCUUUGUAUUGAUGAGUCUGCGGUGUUCCUUCUUGAUCUUAUCUUCGUUUUCCACCUUGAUGUUGGAUGAGGAUUCCCUAUCCAUUGUUUCAUCCAUGUCAUCAUCGAGUGGAUCAAGGAGAUAGUCAUCGUAGUCGUCUAGCUGGACCUGCUCUAGGCCUUCACAAUCCUCGUCGGCAUGAAUCAUCAGUACUUCUCGUUUGAAGCAUUUGGCACGCCGCACCACUUGGCCCUCAUCUUCAUUGUCAGAAGGGAGGAGGGGUCUGCCUUCUUGAAAGGGGAGUUCCCCGGGUGUGGCAAUGAAUCAUGGUGGACUUGAUUUGGGGGACCUGGAGGGUUUCAUGCCCUUCUGAUGCCCAAUCCUGCCCGAUCAAUCUGAUCCCCUUACCAGACCCUGGGUCACAUGAGUAGAUGGAUCCGAGUGGUUGUUGGAAACGAUAGCCCCCUGACGAGCGGUAGCUUCUCCUUCUCCAAGUGGUGGAGGAUAAUCAAAAUUCUCUUCCAAUGUGGAGAGGGUCCUGGGUUGAACCAUCUCAACCCGAUCUUGAUCCGUGAGCGAUUUGUCGAUGGAGCCAGCUAGUCGGAGUUGAUUCCAACUGGUUAUUGACCGAGCGGAGCUAGUCGUCGAGUAGUUUACGGCUCGGUCCCGACUAGUUGCUAGUUGAGACGAGUUGUCGAAGUUGUCAUCAGCACUGCCGAUUUGUCAUGGCAGUCAUGACUACGGCGCGAGUUGAGUAGUCGAGGUUGUCGCUGCAGUGCGUCGAUGUUGUGAUGCGGGGUGAAGUUGAGCGGAGGCGUCAAAAAUUUCCGGCUCCCUUGGGUCGAUUUACCGAAGGGUGGAUUGUGCCACAAGGCAGGAGUCAAAUUCGAGUACCUCAGGGGACUCUAGACCCUUCCAGUACCGGAAACAACCUUGCGCCAUGGAUGUUAUAGUUAAACCCGGAUGGCUACCUGAAAGCAACUCAGAGUAGUCUUCGGGUUGUGAGUGGAUAACGAGAACUGGGGCCUUCGACAAGUGGUGGCUCCCCCAUCCUCGAGUCCUCCUCGGUCUGGAAUUGUAGUUGAGGGGUACUAUUUGUUUGAAUCUGAAUCGUGGUUGAGAACGGGGGAGGGGGGCUCUGACGCGCGGUGGCUCCCUCAUCUCGAAUCUUAACGGGGUGAUCCAAGUACUCCUCUGAGUCAGGGAGGGACUUGGAUUGUGAAGCUUCCUCAGAUCAAUUUGAAUCCGAUCUGAGUCCUGGUGCAGCACGACUUGGAGUUGCGUCAAAAAUGGACGUGCUUUCGAUCUGCCUGGGCAGAUCAGGGAGCAGCAACUCGUCGAGAUCAUCGAUGAAGGAGUCGAGGUUGCUGCAUCGAGUUGCUGCAGAGGCCUCCGACUUCCUGGAUUCGAUUAGGUGGCUGUUGAAGCCACCCAAACCAUUGGCGAUGUAGAUCCAGAAGCCGAAGAUGAAGGUUGUGCCCUCGUCGAGCACGUUGCUGGUGAAGCUGAGAGAUGCCAUCGAGUUCUCCAGUGGAUGCUCCAUGAUCACCCCUACCUAGAGUGCCAGCUGUCGGUGUUUUACUGCCACGCCCACUGAGGGAUACCCUCGAGGUGGUGAGUUUGUAGGUAGCGUGUCGCCGAGAUCAGGAACUCGAAGGUGCAAAGGAACAUAGGGUUUUAGACAGGUUCAGGCCGCCGAGAGCGUAAUACCCUACGUCCUGUGUGGUUUGUAUUACCUUUGAUGAUGAUUGGGCGAUCUCCUGAGUAAUUCCCUGGAUGAUCGCUGGGUUAUCCCCUGGAAAGGGUCCCUGUCCGUCCUUAUAUAGUCUAGGGGGACAGGUUUAUAUGGAAGUCCUAGUCAGAUACAUAUCUUAGAGUCCUACCCGAGUACUUUUCUAGUAGUUCCCUGCUGUAUCUGACUAGUUUUACUACUGUGCAAGCAGUUCUACUAGCCUACGAGUAGUUACAAUAGAUGCAGGGCGUGGGUCAUGCCCCAACCCUUAUCCUAGGAAAAGUACGCCACAUGUACAGUCCCGUAUACCCGGGUUUGACAAUCGCUGAAUUCAUGAACUAGUGGAUCACGAUCAGGAUAAAAAAGGUUUGAUGAGCUCCAUAUCUUCUUCGCUCAAUGCUGCAACUGAGCGGUCAUCAUCUUAAUCAACGGCUCUUGCAUUCCCAUAAGGCUCCUUGUCAUCAUCUAUCUGAACAUCCACACUAUUAGAAGCCCAUCCUGUAUUGGAAGACGGAGGCACAUGGGGAACACCAAUAUUAUCUAGAAUAUCUUCUGCAUUUAAAUAACAAUUAAAGAUGGCGUUGGGACAAAGGAAUGGAAUAAGGGUGAAUAAUAAAAGAAAAGAUGGUGUUACUACGACACUUACUUGGAUUGUUUUGGGUCACAGGAAUCUCCUGAGUUGUUGUACCAACAUCAUCAAUCCGACAAUGUGCACCAGCAUCAGGACAAAUGCCAAACUCAUUCGGACCAGAUUGAGCAUCAGGGACCGCAACUGCAUCUUCCUGAUCCACCUCAAGGUUGGGUAAUGGAGGAUCAGCAGGUGGCGGAUUCUCCUGUUCUUGCGAAAACCCACGAGGGGGUGAAUGCACAUUAGGGGCUGAAUGCACAUGAGAGGUGGGAGCAUUUAACAACUUCUGCACAACCAAAUCCAAACAUUGAUACUCAUUCUUCACAACAGCCUCCACAUACUUCUCCCAUUCAACCUCACGUGCAAUUGGGACUGGCCGUCUGAAAAUCCGGCCAGACUUACCAAAGUGAACGACCCCUUCAACUGAGAUGGCAUCCUCAUUUGAAUUGCAUUGAAGCUCAUCACGAGCUCUACCAAAUACCUCACUAAACAAUGGCCGAUCAUCUAAUAUCAGAGAGACCAUGUGAAUUCCAUAAAAAAUGACAUUCCCAAACACAUCUUCCUCGAUUCUGCCUCCAUGAUAUAAGGUGACUAAAUUAUCCAUCUAGUUCAUAUGCACAACACAAAGGUUAUGACGGGUAUAAUAUAAAAUAUAACUAAUAACAUUUCCUAACUAUCUAAAUUACCUAAUUAACUAAAUUACCUAACUGAAGUACCUAACUAAAGUACCUAACUAAAUUAUCUAACUAAAUAACUAAAUUACCUAACUAAAUACCUACAUCUACUAUCUAACUAAAUUUUCUAACUAUCUACAAGAAAUUACUAACUACAUUACCUAACUAAACUACUAAAACUAAUUAAAUAAGUUAUCUAGAAUUAAAUAAACUACUAAAAUUACCUAAAUUGUUAACUACAAUACCUAACUAAAUUAAAUAAAACUAAUUAAAAUAAAAAAUAACUUACGGGAGGCUUGCCAGCUAGGCCGAGGAGGCCGCGUGGAGCCGCCCCUACCGCCAAUGCGCGGGGGGCGGCCGGAACGGGCGGGCGACGCCCCGAAGGAGGCCGCGCUGGAGCACGGAAGACCCCGCGCGGGGGCACACGGAGGAGGGCGCGCACCUGGCGGCCGGAGGAGGGCACGCAAGGGGAGGGCGGAGGCCACACGGCCGGCGAGCGGGGAGAGGAAGACCUCACGAGAGAGGAAGAGGGCGCGGGGAGAGAGACGGGCCAUGAUGUAUAGGAUAAAAGCUCGGUGCCAAGAUUUGUGGUGCCGAGCCCUCAGCCACGUCAGCCAAGUCAGCGGCUAUGUUAGGUUGGGGGCUAGGACCUCGGCGCCAUAACUCACGGCAUCGACACGUGUUACCUCGACGCCGACCUCAAAUCUAAAUUCGGGAAUACAUUCUCUAGAGGUCCAAAUGUGAAUUUUUUAAAAAAAACAAAAUGCAAAAAAGUACGGGGCGAGGCAGUGAGUGGGGGCGGUGGCGAGGAGGGGAGGAAAACCUUGGCCGGGUGAGGAGAUACAGCCGUUGGAUGAAGGCGCUGAUAAGCAGAGGCCGUCGGAUCUUCUCAUAUGGACAUUUUCGCCUAGGUCCUUCGAGAAACCUUCGUAGUGCGUCCUUCCGCUAUUUGUUCCGGUCGUCCACAUUCCCGACUCACGGCACGGCACCCCCGCGUUCUCCCGCGUCACCCCACCACUGCCGCCUCCUCUUCUACCGAGCGGCCGGUCCCACGCACGAUGAGAUAGAGGAAAGGCAGAAGACAGUUGGCAGCAGCACCUGUGGAGGAGUUGGACCAUGGAAAAGGAACAAAACCUGAUGGAGCCGCUCGUUGCCGCACAUAUCCCCUCAAGAUCCACAUCGUGGGCUUCUCCUCUAGGUCUUUGUAUUACCCUCUCUCCCUCCCACCGACCGACCCCCUCUCUCCCUCUUCUAGUUUGGGGAUGGCAGCAGCAAAGUAUGGACGUGGUAUGGUAGGCACCAGGUGCUUGCAAGAUGCUCGAUUGAAUUUCCAUGUGACCUGCACUCGUGCUUGCUUAGCUAAUUUCCAAGUUUCUCUAUAUUUAUAAUACCCAUAAUUCUUGACUUAUCUUUACUAGUGUUAUCUCAUGUUCAGUUCAAAGCGACAUUCAAUUUGGAGUUUCAGUAGGAUUAUCAGUUGUGAUUCAUGGAUUGGCAUCAAAAGUUCCAGACUGUGAUUAAAAUGCCUCUCUCUUUUCUGCUGUACUCUGCACACUAGUUGUUCGAUGGAACUUGCUUUCAUAGAUUGAGUACAGUUCCCUACUGUAUUCAGUAGGGAAUAUAAACAUUUGAAGAUACACCCUCCAUAUAACUAAUGGAAGGUGUAUCUUCAAAUAGGUAUAUAAUCUAGCAGUACAUUCGGUUCUAUAUUUUAUCAUUUGUAUGAUUAUCCACACGGUGUCCCGUUAUUACUCACCCUGCAAGAGUUCCAGCACAAGAGAUAAUGGCCCAAUACAUUCUAGCAUGAGGCCAUGUCCUAGCAGGAUAUUUCCAUCAGACCAUCACAAGAUUUAAGAAUUGUUUCUAUAAGCUUGUACAGCAUAGCAUUGUCUACAAUCUAAACUUAAAUAUUUCGCCCCUUCGUAGCUUCCAUGUGUUGUGGAUGAGUAUUGAACUGCACAUCCUUCUUUUUACCUGUUUGUACUGAUCAAAAUCAAAUAGUGUCUGAACGAGAAAAAAAACAUAGAAAAGACUAUCUCCCCAAGCUUUCCCUGAUGAGGUAUUGAGGGGUUUGCCCCUACACUAUUUUCUACUGCUUGGAGAUAGAAUGCCCCAUUAUCCUUUCAUAUCUGAAGAAAGAAUCCAAUGACUGGUCCCUAGAAUAUUGUUUUAAACAAGCCCAUAGCAUUCUUUUCCUUUUUUUUUGAACCAGGGAUUCAACCAGUAGUAGACAUGUUUUUUUUUCAGUUCCAGAUAUAUUUACUACAACAACCAAUUAAUGUCAUCGUUUUUGACACAUGUGAGGUCAAUUGCUUGGUUAUUUGAAGUUCAGCAUCAUGACGAACUGUUGGUACCAUUGAUCAUAAGGCACAGCCUCCUUUGUGUCAUUCUACCUAAAGUGCUCAUUUCAUCGGUGUCCCAAAAUGAUGUUUUGAAAGAAAAAAAUAAUUAUGUAUUACUGAAAUAUGAUUCCCAACUGCUGGUGGGCCAAAAUCGUGCAGAUGCUUAGGUACGCAGCCUGACCCAUAGAACUGUUAUGCCAGCGGUAAGUACAACAGUAGUACUGAGUAAGCACUGAAAUACUCUGCCACUAUGUCCACCCUGCUCAUUCAGCUUUUAGAUAGUUAUGUUAACUUUAUCGCUUAAAUCCCAUUGUUAAAUUCAUAGAGUUCCAAAUGUUUUUAAUUUCAAAUUCAAAUGCUACAAAAAAUAUGCCAGCCUUUUAGGAAUUAUUUUUUGCCAUAUCUAACUGACAAACUGCCAACGAUUUUCUCCCCAUGCGUUGCCGCAUGACUUUUAUUGUUUCCGGAUACAUCGAGUUCCAGUCACAGAUACACUCAUUGCAUUUUAGUUUCAGUGCAGUCAAGGAAAAGAGAUGAUGAGGUCCUUUUCUCCAACAAACCAACAAAACAGGUCCAAACCCGGGAUGAUGCAAUGAAUUGACUAUUCUUUCUCUGGGCUCAAACGAAGUUACAGACUGCAAAAAAAGUGGUGCCGGCUCUUGCGUCCAUGCAUUUGUUCAUCAUACAUAGCUGGGGGGGCCAUUGGGCGCGGCAAAGCCGUAGUGUGGUCAGGUUGGUGGUCUAUUUGAGGCUGUAUAUUGGCAAGUACAGAUUGGGCCUGUUUCAUAGGCUCACUCCACUCCAGGCCCGUCACUGGGCCCGCCACCAUGACUUCCGGACCUGUUUAGAUCAACCAGAGACUGCAAUAACAGAAUUUCGUUGCAUUUUCAGUCAGAUCUUACUGCAUCCUAUAUAUAUGCUUUGUGAUUCGUGCAAUUCCUGGAAAGACAUGGCACUUGGUCUUCACUCUUCAGCACCGAAGGCCCGUUUGUUUAUUUCGACUUGUAAACGGCUUCCUCUGCUUCACCGCACCACAGUCCACAGGUGAUCGAGGACUGAUGACCGAACUAGAACUGUUGUUGCAGCCUUGCAGGCGAGAUCCCGCCCAGAGAGGGCGAGUCCAUCAGGCGUCCUCACCAACGGCGUUGACAAGAACGGUAAGCCCCACAAGCUCAGGCUCUAAUCCAUACCAGUAGCACCCUCGGUGACUUUGGCGAAUCCAAGAGAGUAGAUCCUUUCCUGCUCUGCGGAUUUCUUUCGUCUAGAUCAUGCAGGGAUGGUCUGAUGGCCUGUGCUUAAUGCUUUAUCUGUAGUGCGUCAAGAGGCUCGUUUACACCAACUAUGUGCGAGAGAUUGUUAAAUCAGUCUGGCCAAACUUAUGCACGUCACUUCCUGCAUACAUUCUUCUAUCACCUCAACAUGAACUCUGGCGUUUUGCUCUCCUCUCCCGGAAAUAAAAUGCACUGGUUAAUAACAAGGAGAUAAGUUCUGGCUUCUGGCAGAGCUGUGCGACAGUGAGCAACGCCUUUUUUGAGAAGAAUUGUCAAUGUGAUGCACUUUGUAUUCAGUCUAAUUCUGGUUACCACUCUUGCUGAUUUUGGAGAUAGAAAUGUAAUUCAGUGUUCAAUCCAACUCUGGUUCUGGCUGAUCUUGGUCAUAAAAAUUGCAAUUCACUGUUCUUGCCAGUUGCCACAUGUUUUAGGGGCUGUUUGGUUCCCUAGGGUUUAUUUUAAGCCCCAUCACAUCGAAUGUUUCAAUACCAAUUAGAAAUACUAAAUAUAAAUUAAUUAUAAAACUAAUUGCAUAAGUCUAGGGCUUAUUUACGAAAUGAAUCUAUUAAACCUAAUUAAUCAAUGAUUAGCAUAUAUUUACUGUAGCAUCAUAUGGUCUAAUCACGAACUAAUUAGGUUUAAUAGAUUCGGCUCGCGAAUAAGCCUAAGGGUUAUGGAAUUUAUUUUUUUUAUUAGUCUAUGAUAAAUAUUUCUAAUUAGCAUCUAAACAUCGAUGUGACUGGGCUUAAAAUAAACCUCCAGAGAACCAAACACCCCUUAGUUUGAUUCAUGUAGCAGCAAAAGUGAGAAGUUGCAAUUCGUGUUCUUGCCAUGUGUUCUUAGUUCCAUGUAAUUUCAAUAUGUACGAGGAAUUUGCCAUCUCUAAUGAGGGUUUGGACCCGUCUCUAAUUUCAUGAGGCAUUUCUAAAACAUGGUACGAGGAAUUUGAGCUGUACCGAGGAAUUUCAUAAGAACUAAUUACAUGAGGCGUAUCUGAAAUAUGGUACUAGGAAUUUGAGCUGUACAGAGGAAUUUCACAAGAACGUAUAUGUGUGUGUGCUCUUAUGCCCAAAGAAUUCGCGACAUAGGAGAGGCAUCAAGUUACUGUUGACAAAUAAGAUUACUGCACUUGGCAAUUUACCAAGUCGGCGCGGCACUGUACAUGAACGGGAGCGUUCCUGGUUACGUGCAGGCAUUCAGGCUACGUCUUAGCAGCCUCUACGCAGCUCCCAGCUCCCAGCUCCCAGUUCGUGUCUCGCGAAGAAAUUGACGAGAUUGCACGCCUCCCAAUCCGCUCCUCUCCUUCGUCGCUCACCUCGCCUCCUCCGCCUGCCCCUCUCAACGACGCCUCCAUCUCCCAUGUACUGCCCCUACCCAACCAUUUGUCGGGUAGAAGCUACAACGGCCAUUGAGAGGAGAAGGGGACGCCGCGAUGGGUGUGGCAGAAGAAGCGUCCACCACACCGCCGGUGGAUGUAGAACAUUCAGAGAUAGACGCAGACGGCCGGUGGGGGUUCGCGUGUAGAGGCGCAUCGAGAUGGCAACGGACAUCCUUCAGCAGCUCUGCCUCGAUGCCACAGCUGUUCCCGUUGCCACUCGCCAGUUUCGUCCAUCCCCUCGACUCCUUCUCUCCUUGAUUCCACCGCCGGUGGCAAGGUUCAGCUGAUGAUGCGGGUCAGCGCCAUGAUUUUUCGAUGCCAGACGACCAGAAUUGGUUCUUAUUCACUGGCAGCUCCAUUGUCGCGAACCACCUCGACCUCGGUGCUACAGGUUCAGGAUCCUCUUUGUCCAGGAGGCCUCAGGCCCUCAGGGACUCACCAGUGCGUAGCCUCGGCUGCCGGCCUGGUGCCCAUGUAACGGUUUGAUUGCAUCAUUGAGGAGGAGCCAUUGCAGGGAAGGUGAUACAGAGGCUAUUUUUGGAGAACAGAACAUCAUCCAUGCACGUUGUACUGUUCUCUGAACUUUACCAGCGUGCAAUUCAAAUCUAUUGCAGAUAAAUGUUUGAUGACAUUCCUUCCCAAAUGCUAUCUGAAAUGGAAAUAGUUGUAGUUCUACUGUCAUAUAUUCAGAGCAUUUUCUAGCCCUUUGUCUAGGUACAUGCCCGUUGUAGCAAUUCUCCUGGUCAUUUCCGCCAUUCGUGCCUAUAUCAGGGCAUCAGGUCCACUUAAUGUUGGCAGCUUACAUAACUACAAACUGAUAUGUAGUAUAAGCCACCCUCUGCUUCAUCAUUAACCUAAAUCCUAGACUGCUAUUCUUCUCUGAAUUUUUGGAUCUUUUACAUGUUCGACUUCCUGUUUUUGGGUUCGUAGAUAUCUCUGACAAUUUAAGGUCUGUUUAGUUGUUUUCCUUUUAAAUUGACUGAUGUUCUGCAGAAGAUAGAAUUAAAGGCAGAUGAGAGAAAAUUAUAUCGAAGUUGCUUUUGUUGCAUAUAUGAGAGAUUAGUUUUCUCUGAACUUUUCCUUUACUGCCUAGCCUACACGUCUUUGGACCUCUGCAUAUUUGAUUUCAUUAUCUUCAUCAGCAUUCAUCAGCAAGCAAAGAGCCAUGGUUGCUAUGUUUUUACAUUUCAAAUGGACUGGUAGGUGCAUUACUUCUUGAUUUAUUGUGGACACUGCCAUCCUGAAGCCAUGGUCAAGCAGGCAAUGCAACAAGUUUCUUGGUUGUCUUGCAAUGGGUUUGCAAUUUUCAUAUGACUUUUCAUAUGUGAAUCUUUGUCACUGAAACUGAAACAAUACCACAGCUUCGUAACUGCCUGAUGAAAAGCACUCAAUUUAUCGCCUACUUAUUUCUUCAUUUCCUUUUUGGCUGCCAAUAGAAGAUCUCAAUUCUUUAUGUCCACUGAACUUCCCUUCAUACAAGAUUGCUAUUUGUCUGUCCAAAACUAAAAUACUAUGCCUUCCUCAAAUGUUAAUAUGUAGGUCAAUUCUAGGGCUGCUUAGCCAUCUUGGUUUAGCUAUACAACCAACUAAUAGGAAAUCACUAAUCAAUUUGGUGUUGUUUUAUAAAGGUAAUGUAAUAUGCUUAGAUUUGCUGGAGUUUUGCUUACAGUCGUCCUGAGAGGCAUGUAUUCUUUGAAUCUGUUAGCUGAUGCUGCUAAUAUAUGGCAUCAUAAUGCUGCAGUAACUUUUUUUUCAUCCUCUAUACAGAUUGUCAAUUUCAGUUUGGGUUGUUCUUUCAAAAGGGCAAAGAAAGAUGAGACAUGAUGUGAAUUUUUUUACUCUGUUUUGUUCUGAUUCGCUUGCUUAGCAUUUAGUUGUCCAAAGAGUACAUAACUAUAUAUAUUGUGUGUGUAAAAAUUGUUUGUGUUAGCUGUAUUACUGACGAAAAAGGAUUUGACAAAGUUUUGAGUUUACAUUGGAAACAACCUUUUUGGUGGGUUUGUAGCCAACUCUGGAAAAGUGGAAAACUGCAAAGCUGAUGCAUCUUCUACAUUUUUUGCUUCUAGCAAUUUACCGACCUGACUCCUUUGAAUGGCUGCCUAAUUGUCUUUCCAGGGAGCCUUUUUCCCGAGUGCUCUUUCCAGCUAUCUUCUAUGCGUGUAGUGUUUGCGGCUAUUUUUUUUAAAAAAAUUAUGCUUGCACAAUAUUCUUUAACGAUACCUGAAUACCUGAUUAGCAAGAGCAAGUGAUUUCAAGAAAUAAAGUGGACAGCAGCAACACAUGAUUACAAACGUAGGGCCUGGUACCGUUCCAACUCCAGAAAAUUCGUGGAGUUCUUGGAGCUGCUUGUACCUAACUUCAGAAAUUCUUGGAGUUAGAGUUGUAAAUAAAUCAAUUGUUAAGUCAUUAUACUUUUAUUUAGACUUACAUUAAAAAUAUAAAAUAUUUUAAUCUAUUUUACAAAACUUCAGCUCGAACAUUGAUCUCAGAGCUGGAGUUAUGCCAAACAGUAAUACAGGUGCAGCGUAGCACGCCAUCAGUACCAAUCAUGCUUUGGUAAACACUUGGCUAACCCAUUCCCUUCCACACCCAAACCAACCCAUGCCAUGGCAAGUGAAUUCAAUGGCCCCAUACGCUAUUUUGAAUUUUUUCCCUCCAAAAAUCGCAUAGUUAACAAAACCAAAGGUACGGAUUAAAAAUUAGAUCCGACCAUACCAUGCCCUACAAAUUUAUCAUGGUUCCAUUGAAACUGUAACAAAAUGGAAAUGACAUACACACAUCAAUGCACCAAUUUGGUCCAGAACUCUUAUCAGCUCUCAAUGAUAUUUAUGUUCCUCUGUCAUAGAGCCAUUUUUCCAAAAACAAUGGUUAAUAGGAGCAAUAUUGUGUAAGGAUGUAAUGUAACAAUACAAAAUUAUACAAUAAACUACUCCUCCUCCAUCCCAUGAAAAGUGCAAUUCUAGUCUUUUUUCUGACAGAUUAUUGGAGGUGAAAAAUAACCUUAAAUACCCCUGUUAACUGCACAGUCUUGAUAACCGUUUCGUUUGCCGCAUCCUUGAUUCCCGGUGAAGGGGUUUAUCCGGAUAAAAAAUUAGUUGCCACGCAUUCCGUUGGUGCCAACAAAAUAGAAAAAAAGCAGCCGCGCGGAAACUUUCGAUUGGCGCUAGAAAAAUAAAUGUCACGAAUAAAAAAGUAAGCUAUUUUUUAACCGGCCACAUCGUUUGCAUACAGAAUUUUUAGAGAUGGAAAAUUUUUGCUUCUGGCACCAAAAAUAUUGCGUAUAACUAUUGCACAUGCACAAGUCGGACAGUACAAAAGAAAUUACACCAGCCGCUCCUCCUGCCUUCAAUCAAUCGGGUCCAGCGGGCGGAUCCCCCAUUCUGGCCGCAGCCUGAAUCGGAGCCGCCGCUCAGCACCAUGAGCAGAGAGGGGCGGCGUGUGGGAUUGGUGAGAAGGAAGCGGUGCGGAGAAAGGAUGAGGGGUCAUGGAAAAAACGGACGGGGUUCGGGUGCCGAACGAUGGUUGGAGCGCUGCAUUCAGCCAGAUGGAUAACCUCCAACUGUUUCCUAGAAUUGCAUUCUUUGUUAGGAUUUCUUUCAAAUCUAAAAUUACACUCUUCAUGGGACGGAGAGAAUAAGCAGGUUUCUUUGGUUAGCUCCCUGCUCCCUCUUCCUACAAGGAUACAAAACGUAUUACCAAAAUCACAAAUUCACCAUAUCAGAUCAGGUUUAGUGUAUUACUGGCACGCCCACCUCACAGCAGAGUACAUGAGUCACCUAAACAAACAUGAACUCAUUACAGCAUUGUCCCUCCUCCAUAAGUCCUUUUCCAAUAAUCGCUCGUGAUCAACACCACCUUGAUUUCUCACAGCGCUUGUUCCUGAAAUAUAAUGUAUUUCUUAGUUUCCAAUCCAUAGACACAGUUGAUGAUGUUGUAGAACAUGUAUUAGAAAAACACUACUUUUAUUGUUACUAAACCAUCAGUUGCUAUGAAUUCAAAAUCAAUCCUAACUACAUAGUAAAAAUAGCCAAGGGUUGUACCUCUGUUGUAUUGGUCGAACUUUCUACCUUGUUGUCUCCUCUUACCAUAGCUUGAUACUUUCUUAAUAGCAGCUAUUUCCUCUUCACUUGGUUUCGGAACCCCUCCCAUCUAGAUCAGAUCUCGUGCUCAGAAGUUAUCAAUUUUAAGACAAGGCUAUAGAUUUUUCUUAAGGAAGGUUUCUUGUGCCUUUAUCAGAUCAACCACCUGUUCAAGUGAGUACCUCCAUAACCUCUUUGGCUCGUCAUCAGCACUGGACGUGCUUAGAACUUGCCUUGUGUCCUUGUCAAAGGCAUGCUCUGUAGUGUGUCGAGGCAAUGCAAUGACCAUCUUUCCAAGUAUCUCAGAAGGCGUGAGCUUUCGAGAUGCAUAGAACUUUGCCACAGCUAGACCUAAGAGGUUUGCCCCUAAACUGUCCAUUGUACUUGAACCAGUUCCCUUUGUAUCCUCUUCUUCAUUAACCCUAGUCGGUCUCUUACUCUCAAUUUUGAUAAGCAAUGGGCAUGACUUGAUGAUAUCGACCACACUUUUUUCCUCGGUAGAGGUGUAUGCAAGCUCACCGAGUGCAUCCCCUGCGGUUUUCUUCAAAGCACCGUCCUGAAUGAAUGGAAUAAGCGUAUAGUAAAACCAGUAUAGCUUCUUGUACAACCAAAUCCUACCAUCCAUUGACAGAAAUGAUGUGUGGUAUAUAAUUAAUCGCUCAUCUGAUGGAAACAUCAUCUUGUUAAAGAGAUCUCUUGACUCCUCUUAAAAGACACCUGGGAAUCGUCCCGAAAAACUAACUGACUAACAGGAGGUCGCCUGGAUUAACUUGCCUCCUCAGGUGACCCAGGAACAUUUGAAAAGAACCUCUUUUGAGCCGAACCCAGGAGGCUCCGAGACAAGCUGACCUGUGGAUUCGCCGCCGAGAUGAUUCGCGGCGCUGCUUGAAUCCCCAUCGAGUGUAGGGCUGCUUUCCUCCCCUUGUGCUGGGCUCGAGGGCCUGCUUCCACUGCGGGUAGCAAGCCCGUGCGGCACUGCUCCCCAGCGGAGUGGCAAUGCUCGCCGGUGGAGAAGGCCGAAGGUGUGGGCCGCGGUGGGGAAGGGCGGUGAAGGCUGCCGGAGGGGGCGCGGCAGAGGCGGAGCGCGCGGCCAUCGCCAUAGUGACGAAGAAACCCUUGUCGGUCGCCGGCUGGAAGAGUAACGAGCCGCCAGCCCCCAACUAGCGGUGGGUUUAGGGUUUUUCACGCGAUUCGGAAAGGUAGGGCGGCCGAGGACGGGGUGAAAACGAAAGUUUGCUACGCGUUUCCCCUUGCGGCGCGUCAUUUUUGGAGGCCCAGUCCUCAGUACAGUACCGAUCUUGAUCACAACCUGGAUUUCCAAAGAAAUGAUAUUUUUGGUGGGUAUAUGGGUCCAUUUUUUCAGUUUCUUCAACACCAGGGAUCGAAACCGGAUUUUCGCAAUUUCCUAUGCAUCUUACUCAGAAUUUAGUGUUCUGGAAACCAAAGCGUGCUUCCCGUGCGCUGUUGUAGACACAUAACUUGAAAUACUAUAAUUAUUUCAUUGAACUAAAAGCAUAUCGGCAAUGGGGAGACCCCUUGUAAUCAUGUAUUAUUCAAAUCAAACAAGCAAAAGUCUUAUUAAACUUAGAGCCUAAUGUACUAAAUUCAAAUGACGAGCCAGAUCAAUACAAAUACUUUCUCUAACCCACAAAGAGUGCUCUUUUAGAGUUUAUCAAACAGCUUAGUGUGGAGGAGAAAAGACUUGGGCACCCCUUUCGGUAUCCAUCCCUGCCAUGCGCUGGACGUUUGCUCACCCGUGGUUAUUAGCGACACUCUGCAACUUGGACAGAUUACAUGCAAACUUUUUAACACCUGCUCCAUCCGUGAACUGGGUCGAAGUUAACGAACGGGCCUUUUUGUAUACAACAGAAGAUCAGAUUGCAUUUUCCAGCACAUCCCAUUAAAGACUGGUGCUCAUAGUGGGAAGAAAAAGGAUGUUGAACUCAUGCCUGAAGCUGAGGCUGCUGCCAAAGCUUCUCUUGUUGUGCCAUAUGUGGAAUCUCUUCCAACAGUCGGGACUUGGCAAAUGGCCUCACUUGCAGGAUCAUUGUAUGGCAUGAUGAUUAGACUGCUACCUUCUUUUGUGCGCACAUGGUUUACUAAUUUGAGAGACCGUUCAUUGCCGUACUCAAUGGAGUUGGUUACUAGACAGUGGCGCAGCCCUCCUCUUCUGCUAGAUGAAUUUUCUCAGGUAUGUGGUGGCAUGAUACACAUUAGCCUUCUCAUUGUGAAAAACAACAUAUUAGGCUGUGAGGCAACUUGGCGACAUUAGAUUCACACUAAUUCAUUUGGUUUUCAUCAGUAACUGUUCCUUUUGUUGAAAUCAUGUAGUAACAGUUGAGGGCGUACACCUGUACAUGAAAAUCAGAUAAUGUUAUUCCAGUUGAAAUAACAUGAUCCUUGGAAUUGAAACUUUAUUACUGCCCUUGCAACUAACUCGUUGCAGGCUAAGGAUUCUGUGUAUGCUGAUGAGAAUUUCUCGGUUACCGUCAACCGAUCGGCUUAUGAAAUCGUUGCCUUACAUAGGCUCAGGCCAUUUCUAGACAUGCAUGUUUGUUGGUACCGUUCUAUCGUUCAUGUAAAUGACGCGCGUAUGUGGUGUGGUGUGGUGUUGCCUUACAUAGGCUCAGGCCAUUUCUCACUGAGCUCAUCUUUUUAGUCUCCAACGGACGGGUGAGGAAGCCUCUCCGGCUCCAUGGGCUCGCCAUCGUCGACGCCGCCCGCGUUCGGGGGAGGUCGCGGUCAACAAAUAAUGUUUACAAAAAGCAUCCAAGUUUUGCUAUUUUGAAUCGCAAUUAAUAAUUAUGAUCCAAUAUUUUGUAUAAAACUCUCUAAAUUGGAUCGCGAUUAAUAAUCGCAAUCCAAUAUUUUACAUACAAACCUCUACCCACGAUCCAUCAUUUUAACAUUAGGUCCUCUCCCGUCUCUCGUGGGCUGUGGCCAUGGCUCAGCUUCCUUUCUGCUCAGCUGACGGCGACGGCCGCCGCGGCUGACGGAGAGAUGAACUUAAUGGAGAACCAUGGCCGGAGAUGAAGAGGGCCGCACGGUUUCACCUACCUCUCAUCGUGCUCCUCAUUCAUUCCUUGCCUGCCCACUCAUAUGCUCUGUUGCUAUGCUCCCUCCUCUCUUCCUCCGCCUCCGCCGGUGGCGAGGAAAAGAGAUUCUUGCGACACGUACCGCACAGCUCGUUCUUCAGUAACCACAAGGCGGCGAGCUACAGAUCGCCAACGAUAUCGUCGUCGCGCGAGAGAAUGGGGAAAGUCUGUCCACCGCAUCAGUUCGUCUUGUCGAUGGUCUGAAACUCUGAACCAUCAUGGAUUAUACUCUUGCCUUGCGUUAGUACAUUCGUUCCCUUCAGUAACCAGCAUACGCAUGCUUGCACCUAUGACAAAAAAAAAUCAUCUCAUCUCUUUCCAUAGAAGCCUCUCGAGUCACCGUACCAUGCCAUAAUUCCCAGACAAUCAUGACAGCGCCUACCUUCUUCACCAUAACUUCAUCAUUCCCUGGAAGCCAUAGAGUAACCACACCAUUGACAUUGAAAUGACCCAUCAUGGCAGCACUCACUCCAAUUCCUGGAAGCUGGCAAGAGUGCUCACAAUAUUAAAUAACCUGUCAUGCAAAUAUGGCGGCACCCACCUCGCCAUAAAUCAGGGUCGUCGCGUACAGUGCCGGCCGAGAUUUUUUCCCCGCCGCGCGAACCGCCUCACCUCGUCUAUAAAAGAAGCCGACGCCCCCUCCCUGCCGUCCUCACCCGCGCUCGCUCUCGCUCGUGCACGCGCGACACGCCGGCCCCACGACGGGACCGCGCACUGCCAUCGGCACCACGCCGUGCCACCCACCUCCGUGUCCCCACCUCGCCCACGCCGCUGCAGCGUCCUCGCCGGCUUUGCCGCCUCGACGCUCACGCCUUCAGUGUUGCCACUGUUUGCGAUGACGAUGAGCUGCCGCAGCGCACGCCGUCGCCAUCCCUGCGCGACGCCGUUGCUGCUCUCCUCGCCUAUAAAAGGAGCGAGGCCGUGAUGAGCCCCAUCAUCAGCCCAAGCACACCGAGCCGCUUCGCUCCGCUAGCUGAACCACUUCUCACGAGCCCAGCUCACUCACGAGACGAAGCUCCAACAGUUGACCCUCUCUCCUCGAGCUGUUCCGCGCCAAGGUGAGAUGGCAGACAGCUCCCCGACCAUUAACUCCGCUAUACUAAUAAAGGCCCAAAACACCCACCAGGCUGUAAGCACUUAAUCCAAAUCAUUCUAUUUUCGGAGUUAAAUACCAACCAAUACUGUAAACUCAAUAUCUCCUUCGUAUCAACUCCUUUUCACGUAACUCUUUUUCCUAAACUCUCCUCAAAUCAUAUACUAUCUAUUCCUCCUAUUUUCAUCUCCAUUUGAGCUUAUUUUAUAGCUUGCUUGUGUUUGUUUGCCGGUUGUGCCGUUUUCGCCCGUAGAUCACGGAGUGACCGAGGAGGAGCCUGCCAAGGUGUAUGAAGGCCAGUACCGUGAGCCGGAGCCAGAAGACCCAUACCGCGAGCAGGAAGCCGCCGCCGACGUGUACGUAAGUGAAGGCAAGUUUCAUCGACCCCUACGUGAGCGGUUGCAUCCAUGUGAGGACGUCUAGUUGUAGCCCUGGUUUAGGAUCGAUUACAUAUACCGGUACUUGAGUGAUUGAGUGUGCUCAUACAUGCAUAUGAGUAGUUAUGCAUAUCCAGAGUUGAGACUAGGAUAUGAAGGGAUUUGGCUGAGGCUAGGGCAGCUGGGUAUGCUGGAACCGGCGCUACCGUGGUGGUAGACUGGCAGGUGAGUGCUGCCGUGGUGGUAGGCUCGAGUUGACAUGUUGAGGGAUGGUUGCUGCCCUGGUGAACCAUAAGGACCGAGUUGUUUUGACAUCUCACCUAGCUUACUUUAGUACGACCACAGGUUCCGGUAUGGGCCGGACUUAGCCUAAUGCCACUGGUUAGCCUGACGGUCGCAGGGAUGGUUUAUGGGUAUAGACCAUUGGGGUCAGGGCCGGGGGUUUGUGCGGUAGGGCUGGGGCCUGACCACGGCUGGGUGUCGGCUAUGUCGGUUGUCCGUUCGGGCAGUCGAGCUUGUGGGUACAGUGUAUGACCUCUGCAGAGUGUAUAAUCCAUUCGAAUGGUCCGUAUCCACGGAAUGGAUAGGCUACGGUGUGGUCCUGACAACUAGUGAGCUACCUACUGUGGGUUGUGUCGGGAAUAGUUGCAUACCAUGAGUUGCAUUACUAAUGCAUUGUGCUUAAUGUGCGUCGUGCAUGUCAUUCCCCUCCCGUAGGGUGAGGUGGAACUUGCUGAGUACUCUUGUACUCAACCCUUGUUGAUUUUUCUCCAGAGGAUCCUGACUUUAUGCUAGAGGACUGCGAGUAGAUCGUGUCCGCACCCAAGCUGAUCGAGUGGAGCCGUGAUGGAUGAAGAGCUAGUCCUCCAUGCCGUCCUACUAGUCGUUAUCCUAUGGUUGUGCUGUGUAGCUCUGUGUUGUCGCUUUACCCCUUGUGUACAUGUUGAAUAAAGCUCUGUAUGACUCUGGACUCCACUUGAUGUAACAUGUAUUAUGCUGGAGACCUUAUUCGGUAAUUAAUACAUGGUUUAGCCUUGAUCUUUGGGUCGGGGCAUUUCAGGUGGUAUCAGAGCCAUGCUUGGCUGUAGGACACGAACUGGUAGUAACGAUGACCGUAGGAGCCCUAGGAUGGUCAAUCCUUGAAACCCUAUUACUCCUUAAAACUUUAACCAUAUUAUGCUAACCCUACCUUUGUAAGUCAGAUGGCGGAUGACUGGACCACCACCUACUGCAUCAACGAAGAUGGAUUCCCCAGGGUGCUUUAUGCUGCCAUGGUGCGACUUGGUAUUCCGGAACGACUGGAGUACGUGGGUUGCGAGUUCAUGGAGCAUGGCACCGAAAGCUGUGAGGUCACCAUCCAUAUUGGCGCCAGUGAUAAGUACUUGGAGAUGCAACCCUGGAGCAUCACCGCCACUGGAGCCCGUAUGCCUGACACCAUUUAACUUGCAGCUCGCAAGGCACUGCGGUACCUGUGCCAGAUAUUUGAAUGGCACUUGGGUUCCACUCCCAUGAAGUACUUUCCACCGUUGGAUCGUAGCCGUCCUGCUUGGGCGGUGAGGAUCCGCAACCUGGAAAGUCCCACAGGGACAGAGAAGAACCCCAUAGUUGUCGCUAUGUCUGGCUAUUUGCUUAGCCUCGACGAUUUGUGCGACCAACUGUAUCAGCGUGUGAGAGAUUUAAUCCAGCGUGCUGAGGGAGUGGAGUCCCGUUGGCAUAGGGCUAAACUGGCCGUAGCCCAGGCAGAAGCCCGAGGAGCCGAAGCUGAAAGCCGCCUUGCCGUGGCCGAAGAGAACCUUAGGGAGCAGGCAGAUCGCCACAGUCAGCUCCUUAGGGGUGUCUACCUAGUGGACCGUGCCAAGCAUAAGGAACGCCAUCCCAGGACUGCCGCGGAGCCGCCAAUCCUAGAGGGAAUCCCGCUGUGUUCCUCGUCCCAACCACGUAGGAGGAUUUGUGAAUUAGUGCCGCCCACACCUCCCGCGUCUCCCUAAGAUCCCGGAAACAGUGACCCCGAAGACCGUGUUGUAGGGUUCAGUAGUCGAGUCGUCCCGGCCGACCCUUAAAAGUCUAGCCACGUUAUUAUAAUCCGUUGUGUCAUGUAUCCCUGCUUGUUUGAAUGAAUGCUUGUGUGGUGCUUGAAUGAUUCUUUUGUGUUGUUGUUAUCGCCAUAAUUUGACCGGGCCAGAAGUGGGCCAUGGAGCAAGAUGGGCUUGGAAGGCAGUUACGAUAAAACUUGCGAAUCGGACCCUGUGCAGGAGAAUGGGGCUAGAAAGGCCGUGUGAUUUGGAUAUAGGCAGUUAAGAUUCGUGUCGUGUUUAGUUAGGGUUAGUUAAAGAGGAUAAGUCUACGGACUAUAAAUAUGUACCAUGAAUAAACAAGAAAGACAGAAUCAUUCAUCAACAACUCUCGGCGCAUCGCCUCCCCUGUUUUAGGGUUUUCAUCGGGUAAGUGCCAUGCGGCCCCGAAGCAUUACCCUUGCUCGUUUGUUCAUAUGUUGCUCGUUCUGAAGCCUUGUAGAUGGCGAGUAGCAUUAGUUAUCCUAGCACGCAUAGAGUAAUUUUAUCCCUUUUGCAUCUUGAUCAUGCUUUGCUCAUUGCUCUUGUGUGCUUAAUCAUCGUGUUCAACCACGAAUGCGAUGGUUGUGUCUUGUUUUGUCUUUAUCAGUAGAUCCAAUCUGUUAAGGCUAGUUUCUGUUUAUUUAGAGGCUUGGUUCGAUAUGUGCAUGAUUAGGCCUUGCAAACGAGUUGAACGUUCCGGCUGUAUGCUUUUGUGUCGGCUUGUAGCUUGAGAGGGGGUUGCUAUAAGAAUCGGCUUUUCCGGUUAUUUAUACAAUCUUGGUUUAAGUCGUAUGAUCCGAUGCUUUUGUAUAUUUGUUAGGCUCAAUCACGUGUAGGAUGUUCCAAUCAUGCUGUGAGGGCUUAGUCGUCGUAGAUUGGAUUAGACUGGUAUUUAUGAAGCAAGAUUUAUUUCAUUAUCGAAUAUAUACAUAUUGCCUGUUCCAAAGAUCCGAUCCGGUAUUGAUGCAAUCGGCUCUUCAUAGCCGAUACCGGGGAGGAGUGGUGAGCCGAUUACGGCUCGGACUAACCUUUACAAGUGUCUGUGCUUACAGGAAUUUAAUACAUCACACCUUCCUGAUUAGGUGCAGGAUCAGGUGGCACGCCUAGCGACUCCAAGCCAGGGUGUGCGCCAGAUCGCUGGGCCGUUGACCGAGGGACCGGGGCCCACCAGCCGUCCCGGAAGCCUCCCGGCUCCUCGUGUUGCCUGUCGCUGCUUGCCGGUGGGUUUUGACCGACAACACAUUCUAGCACGCCCGGUGGGACCAUCUUCAUCAACUUCGUCAUCACCAUCUUCAUCGACUUCGUCAUCACCGUUGACUUUGUCAAUCGCUGACGGCAGAAUGGCAAGAGAUGACCCAAUCACUUAUGAGGAGCUCUCUGCCGAGCACAAACAAAGAUAUGACGAAAUCAAAGCUCAAUUUGAAGCCGACCUCAUCGGCUCUUUUGAAAGGACUCGUAGCCAUGGUGUCAAGUGGAGAGGGUUUUCACCUGAAGGUGCUCUUGAUGGAGUAGACCUAUCUACCCCUUCUGAAGAUCGUACAAGAGCUUUGCGGCAGGAGGUAAAUUAUGCGGUGGCUCAUUCAUUGCACCGGCAUUCUGAAAGUUUGGUCAACGCUUUUGAGCGUGUAGCUUUGCGAGUGGUCCAAAAAAUUAUGAAGCAUCAGCAUUCUCCAACUGGGCCCACUCUGGGAAGUCAUAACGGAGAAUUGCCGUUCCAGACCAGACCUCCAUUGCCUUAUGCACUUGCAGCUGCGGAAUCACAUGGCGCUCCAGCUUAUGUGGUUUAUAAAGUGGGAGGUGAUCCCAUGGAUCACCAGUUCUUCAGCGAGCCACCCAAGGAAAUCCCACACGGUUACAUGUGUGCAUACAUACCGGACAACGAUAACCCGGUACGUUCCGCACAAAAAGUAGUUGGAGGGGUUUCCGGAGCCGACGCAGAUAAGCAAGCGUGGCUAGCAACUUAUGCUACUGGGCCGAGUCAUGACAGUAUGCACUCGGCCCCUGGAUUACAAACAGCGGAGCAAAUCAGCGCCAUCCUGAGGGAUCAGUAUGGCAUAUUACCAAGAGGAGAGCGAUCGGCUAUACUAAGCUGUAUCCAAGUGACUACGAUCUAAUUCCAUUGCCACCUAAGUAUCGGCUCCCUGAGUUUACCAAGUUCAGUAGAGCAGAAGGUUCUAGUUCUAUCGAACACGUGAGCCGGUAUUUGGCACAAUUGGGUAUAAUCUCUGUAUCAGAUCCGUUGCGAGUAAGGUUCUUCUCGCAAUCGCUCACAGGACCGGCCUUUGGGUGGUAUACGUCAUUAAGUCCUGACUCCAUCCGAACUUGGAAGCAGCUGGAGGAACAAUUCCAUAUUUAAUACCAUUCAGAAGCUGCAGAGGCGGGAAUUGCCGAUCUAGCGCAGCUCCGACAGAAGCGUGGAGAAACCAUGAUAGAGUUCGUUCGACGCUUCAUGGAGAUGAAGAACAAGUGUUAUUCAAUAUGGAUCUCAGAGAAGGAAGCUGUCGAGUUGGCGUCAUUGGGGUUACUGAAGCCAAUCAGAGAUCUGGCUUUUCAAUUGGAGUUCACUUCCUUGGCACAUCUAGUCCAAAAAAUGACGACGCAUGAGCAGCGUCACCCUGAGUUGUACCAAGAAAAAUUUAAGCGCCAAGUAGCGCUAGCUGAUACAGAAGAAGCCGAUGACUCCGGGGAAGAGAUGGAAGUAUCAGUUGCAGAAUGGGCUCGUGGUGCAAAUCCCAUACCAUGCAAGUGGGUAAAGCAAACUGGGCCGGCGAAGGGGUUUGAUUUUGUUGUGAGUAAAGCCGAACAAAUUUUCGAUUUGUUAUUAAAAGAAAAGCAGUUGAAGUUUCCAGAAGGAUACAAACCUCCCACGGCGCAGGAGUUAAAAGGAAGAUCAUAUUGUAAAUGGCAUGAUUCUUUUACCCACAGCACCAGUGAUUGCAAGGAGCUCCGUCGGCAAAUCCAAUCAACUAUUGAGCAGGGCCGAUUGAUCCUAGGCCAGACCGCCAUGAAAGUUGACACUCAGUCGUUCCCUGGUGUCAACAUGGUGGAAAAUCAUGACUGGUCUGCAAGGCGACAACUGGAUUUCGCGCUUGGCAUCAACAUGGCGGGGAUGACAUCACGCCACCAGGGCAAGAACAGAGAGGCUGAUCCCAGCGAUCGGCCCCAAAAAGAGAAGAAAGAGUACGUCACAGAGAGACAAGUAAGUAUGUAAGGAAUCAACGACCAACUUCCUCUGAUCUUCUCAGGAAAUAUGAAUACAAGUACCAGCAACGCCUCCAGCGGGAAUCUGAGGAAGAAGAAUAUGAGCACCGCACCGGAAAGCGCCUGAGGAAGCAUGAAGAUGUCCGUGAUCACUGGCACUGCCCGUUCUUCAGGUAGUGUUGGGAUUCAGGUAUGAGCCGGCUGCCUACUAUCAGGGAUUGCCCAGAAUGUGGGCCAAUGAGGUCAGAAGCAAGGGAUUCAGUUUUCCGGCGGCUAGGACCUGCUUCAACCUGGCAAGAACGGGUUCGGUCACCACGAAAGGAAGAUGAAGAAGAAGAUAGGUAUCAUCGUCCAUGUUGGUGCCCCGAUGGACUUAAUCGUUCCCAGAAGCGCAGGGUUCAGCGGCUGCGUAGCUUGGAGGAGGCCGAGGCCAAGUACAUCGAAACUUUAAGGAAAGCGCGACCAGAUUUGGUAGAACAAGUCCAUUAUGUGCAGGAAAAAGAGUCGCGCCCAUCUAGGAAAGAAUGGCGGCCCAAGUCAACAAAAGCCGAUAAGAAGGUAUCGGCUGAUGCACACAUGGUUUUUGUACUUCCUGCAGAGUUUCAUGCUCGGACCCAGGAGGAGCCAUCAGUAGCCCAGCUUGAUUUGGGACCACGGCUGGUGAUAUUCGAAAAGCCACAAGCCAAGAACUACAAGCACCUGAAGGCCUUAUAUCUUAAAGGGUAUAUUAAUGGUCAGCCCGUUAAUAAAAUGUUAGUGGCUAUGGGAGCGGCAGUUAACAUCAUGCCAUACUCAGUUCUGCACCGUUUGGGGUGGUCCACCGGAGAUCUAAUCAAGACCAACGUCACGCUAAGUGACUUUAAUGGGCAGACUUCAGAAGCUCAGGAUGUCCUCAGUGUGGAUCUCACCAUUGGAAACAAGACCGUCCCGACUUCAUUCUUCGUCGUCAACAGCAAAAGUACCUACAAUGUUUUACUUGGCAGGGACUGGAUUCACACCAACUGUUGCAUCCCCUCCACAAUGCAUCAAUGUUUGAUCCAGUGGGAUGGAGACGAGGUGGAAGUGGUCCAGGCAGACGACUCGAUCGAAAUUUCGCAUGCUGCCAUGAGCAUUUGGGAUGCAGAAGAUCAAGAGCUGAUUUCAGGGAUAAGCCUGGAAGGGUGUGACCGCAUCGAGGCCACAAAAAACGGAGUAAGGCUGGUCUUAUCCACCGGCCUUACAGAAUAAAGGAGCCGCAAGGAGCGAGACGUUGCAGCGAAGCCAUAGAGGCCGAUUCCUGCAAUCGGCCCCAAAAAAGCGAAUUUGUGAGGCCAGGUGUUUUAGAUAGUUGUUAUGGGACGGCCAGCGCUGGCAGCCGGCCUUAUUCUUUUUGUAAAAACUUGGAAAAUAGUGGGAUGCGUGGAAUGGCCGAUCUUAACGAUCGGCCGGAAUUCUUUUUACUGUCUUCCUUUUUCAUCUGCAGCAUUGAUCUAACGGAGGAAGGGAAGAAAGGAUAUAGUUUCGCGUCGGCUGACGAACUUGAGGAGAUAGAUAUUGGUCCUGGGGAUAAGCCACGACCAACAUUUAUAAGUAGAAAGUUGCACCCAUCUCUACGAGAGCCGAUGAUAACUUUGCUAAAGAGAUAUGCCGAUUGCUUCGCCUGGGAUUACACAGAGAUGCCUGGGCUGGAUAGGAGUAUAGUUGAGCAUCGGUUCCCUCUUAAGAGCGGAUUUUGACCAUUCCAACAGCGGGCACGGCAGAUGAAAGCCGAAGUCCUGGUUGAAGUAAAGAAAGAAGUAGAAAAAAUGUUAGAAGCUGGAUUUAUCAGGACUUGCAGAUACGCUGAAUGGAUCUCCAGCGUUGUGCCCGUACAGAAGAAGGAUGGCCGAUGGCGGGUGUGCGUGGAUUUCAGGGAUCUCAAUAGAGCCACUCCGAAGGACGAAUACCCAAUGCCUAUUGCAGAGACAUUGAUCAAUGCUGCUGCCGGCCAUAAGAUCUUAAGUUUCAUGGAUGGUAAUGCAGGUUACAAUCAGAUUUUCAUGGCCCCUGAAGAUAUACACAAAACUGCAUUCAGAGUGCCCGGAGCGGUGGGCCUGUUCGAGUAUGUGGUUAUGACCUUCUGUUGUCGGUCAAAACCCGCCGGCGGGCAGCGACAGGCAACACGAGGAGCCGGGAGGCUUCCGGGACGGCUGGUGGGCCCCGGUCCCUCGGUCAACGGCCCAGUGAUCUGGCGCGCGCCCUAGCUGAGAAUCGCUAGGCGUGCCACCUGAUCCUACACCCCAUCAGGAAGGUGUGACGUGUCGAACUCCUGCAUACACAGACAUGUGUAAAAGUUAAUCCGAGCCGUGAUCGGCUCAUUACCUCCUCCCCGGUAUCGGCUAUGAAGAGCCGAUUGCGUCAAUACCGGAUCGGAUCUUUGGAACAGGCAAUAUAGAAACUGGUACGUACAUAUAUAUUUAAAUAAAACUCGCCUCAUAAAUAACAAUCUAAUCCAAUCCACAACAACUAAGCCCUCACUGCACGAUCGGAACAUCCUACACGUAAUUGAGCCUAAUAGAUACACAAAAGCAUCGACAAGACGAUCUAAACAGAGAGCAAGAGAACAACUAAAAGCCGAUUCCCGAACAACCUCUAUUCAGGCAAAAAGCCGAUACAGAGCAUUCUAUCGGAUCAUUCAACUCGUUUGCAAGGCCUAAUCGUGCACAUAUUGAACCAAGCUUCUAAAUACAUAGAAACCAGCCAUAACAGAUUGGAUCUACUGACAACUACGAAACGAGAUAAAACCAUCAUACCCACGAACGGGUACGAUGAUCAAACAUGCGAGAGCAACGCAUAAAGCACAAUGAAAGCACCAAAAGAAAAGAUUACUCAACGCAUGCCAGGAUAAAUAACGCUACUCGCCAUCUACAAGGCUUCAGCACGAGCAACGUAUAAGCGAACGAGCAAGGGUGACGCUACCCCGAUCACGCAAGACGUGAUCGGGGUCGCGUGGCACUUACCCGAUGAAAAACCCUAAAACAGGGGAGGCGAUACGCCGAGAGUUGAUGAUGAUUGAUUCUGUUUCUUGUUUAUUCAUAGUACAUAUUUAUAGUCCGUAGACUUGUUCUCUUUAACUAACCCUAACCUAACACGACACGAAUCUUAACUGUUUAUUCCUAAUUUACACGGCCUUAUGGCCUCCAUCUUCCACACGGGCCCGAUUCGCAAGCUUUGUCACGACCGCCUUCCAAGCCCAUCUUGCUCCGUGGCCCACUUCUGACCUGGUCAAAAUACGGUGAUAACACAUGCCCCCCUGGUUUCGGUAAUGGAAAUUCCGAAAUCACCACUACCUUGACCCUUCGUCUUCCGAUCCGUACGACCGUGCCCUUUCGGCUCCCGAUGGACGUGACUGCUCUGCAUCGGCCUCCUGGGGAACCGUUACGGUGCCGAUUCAUUUCAUCCACUCGUUGGCUUUAUAAACUUGUUUCCAGCACCUUUUUACCCACUUUCUCUCACAACCAUCGCCGACUCCCUUUCUUCCUUCGCCAUGGCCUCUUCUUCCUCUGCUUCCUCUGUUAUCUCUUACGAGUCCGGAACAACACGAGAACCUACUCCAGAAUAUGACCCAAUCGCUGCUUAUGAGGUCCGUUCCCCCCUGCAUUGGGACGCAGUGGGGUGGGACUUCGACUACCAGUCUGAAGACGACGACUCUCUGACUGACGGCGAGGAUCUCACUCUCCUCCUCGGAGCCGAGCUGGAGGAAGAGGAAGAUGAUGUCCUUUGGGGAGAAGACCUUUCUUUCUCAGAGGAAGAAUCCGACUCCUUCUCCUCCGAAGAAGAUCCGAUGGCAGGUAACUUUCUCUUUGACAGGUCAUCGGACGACACUUCCGAUAGCCGCGGAGGAACCGACGAUGAUGACGGCUUCACUAGUGGCAGCGAUGGGAACGAUGCUGACGAUGAUGGCCGCGACGGUAGCAGCAGCAGCGGCGCCAGCAUUGCUCCACCGUCCAAGCGCCGCAAAGCCUCUGAUGUGCACUGGUGGUAGAUUGUAGUCCCCCCGUUAGGUUAUCUCCAGGAGUAGUUAGCUCCCUUUUGUUCUUACUGCCUUGUUAUGAAUACACUCUGCUUUUGUAUUAAUCCCUCUUAUUAUGCACAACAAUUUAUUCAAGAGCCGAUGGCAUCGCAUCGGCUUUAGAGUAUACCACCCCGGAUCUGAAACCGCUCUUCAAUUUACUUUACCUUCUGCCAAUCAAUCCAGCACAAACCUCUAUAGGUCGAUUCCGAUCCCCUUUUUCGCUCGCAAACCCUAGCGCAAGAUCUUCCCUAGUCCUUGAGACACACACUCGAUCUUGCGCCACCAACCCUAGAUUCAUUCUCCAAGGUUUUGAUCCAAAUUUUCUGAUGGCAGGAUCUUCGCGUACCGCCGCCGCCGCCUUUGGUCUGAAGGUAAACUCCGACCCCCAUUAAUCUAACACUGCGUCCGCACAUUUCUUACUGCGCAGUUAAAUGACUUUUCCCCCGGCGAUCUUGACUUUUUUUGGGGUUUUUUCAGGCUUCCGAUAUCUUCCUGCCACAUCCUUCUUCCCCCGAUUCCUUUGCCUUGGACCUCGCUCCUAUGAGAAACCCGUAGAUCUGAUCUCGUGUGAGGCCAACCGGAUCCCCUUUGUGAGCCAGAUGUAGACCUAGAAUCUUGGUCGGAUAGCCUCCGCGCCUGGCCAAACCCUCCUGAAGGCUGGAUGGCUUGGUAUAAUAGGGUAGCGAACACCUAUCAGCCCUUAUGGGAAUCAAUUGGAAUAGCCGAUCCCUUGUCUUUGUCACUCUCCCCUCUUGAGAAAGAUGAAAACCUUCUGAAGACCAUCGGCUAUUUCUGGUCUGAUGCCUUGAAUUGUUUCCUCUUUGGGCAUAGCCCAUUAGCACCAACACUGUUAAUGUUGUGAUGAUUACUGGCCUGAACAUAUCUUCAGCCUGUCCUUCUGCUUACAGUCUCCAUGUGGUCCCUUACAAAUUGUCUUCAAAAACUGAAUGCACUAACUGGAGCACAUACCUGAGCCAACACCAGAAAAGCAAAGGCCCUGUGUCGGAAAAGGAGCAUACGGCCUUCCUGAACUUAUGGCUUGAACACUUCCUCUUCUGUGGCCCUUCCCUUGCCCCGACCAAAAACUAUCUUUCCUUGGCUUAUGAAUUGGCCAAGGGUCAACCCAUUGGCCUCGGCAGACUAUUUCUGGGGGAACUCUACCGUUAUCUUCAUCUGAUGACUUCCAGCCUCCUUACCCAGAAGAAGAUUAGAACUGGUGGCCCAUGGUGGUUCAUUCAGUUGUGGGCUCAUCUUUACUUCCACAAUUCUGAUCCUGAUUUCCCUUCUUUGGUCGGUAAUUCCUUCCCUGAUCUGAGCGGGAGACAAAUUAGAUGUACUAGCUUUGGGCAGGCCCUAUACAGUCUCCCUGGCGGGAAACUGAAUCCCCCAGAUGCUUCCCGUUGGUUCAAGAUUUUUUACAAAGGCCUCGAUAACCCAGACUUCCUUCCUUAUGCCGACUCUGAGCUCUUUGAGAACCCAGCUACCUUCCGUUUGGCUGAUAUUGCCGAUGAUGCUGACACCAGGCAUCUUUAUUCCAUCAUGGUUCGGCCUUGCCUUCUCCCAGUCGGCAUGAGCACCUCUAACCGGAUUCUUAAACCCGGUUAUGAGUUUUACCAGCCGGUCGUAGCAGCCCGUCAAUUUGGCCUUGCGCAGGUGCCUCCCCACUUCCUUCUCCAUCUGCUAACAUCCAGCAGGGUGGACCUCCCCGAUGCUCUGACCGCCCAGAGGUGCUACAGUCUGUUCGCAGACCUUCCCCUGUCUGUCCUGCCAACUUCACCUUCACCUCCUCGGCUGUUGACUUCGAUGGAUGGUGGACGAUGUGGAAAACUCAUGUUUUCCGAGGAGCCCUGGGUCCGAUGCUUCAACAGAUCGACCCUGAAUAUGACAUCCCGAUGGAGAGGUACCCCCUUUCUGGACUAGCAUUCUUUCUUUAAAUUGUAUUGGAUCCCUCCUGAGUCCACCUUACGGCUGCAGCAAGAAGAUGGCCCAGAGCCAAUAAACGAAGAUGGAUCCCCUUUUGCUUCGGGGCGGUCGCUCCCGUGGUUCUUUUUGGCAGGAACGCACCCCCUCCCUCGAAGAGUGUAAUGCAGAUCCAGCCGAGUACCGCCAAGUUGACCCCCAAGCGGAAACGGCUUUCUGAGGCUGCUGCCCCCCGUGUCUGUGCUAAGACGAGGAAGACCCUUGUCAGAAAGGUCCGGAAGGAAACUGCGCUGUCUUCUCCUAAUCCACCACUUCCAGUCGCCGACCAGGUUUGGCCCCUCUUCCCGCUUCGCAAUCGGGUUUUGUUCAUCCCCCUUCUAGUGACACUCUCUUUUCCUGCAGCCUGCUGUUAUAGAAGUCUCCAGCGGGGAGGAGCGCCCAUGUCAGAAAGGUUCGUCUGUGGAGACGCCGGAGGGCGUGGACGUACCCAUCAGGGCCCUGAUCACCCUUUGCAAUCCUGGUGUGACAGACUCGGGAGGCCCUUCUGCAUCGGCUGCUGCCUCAACUGCUCCGCUGGGUCUGCAGGUCAUUGACUCCUGUCUGGAAGGGCCCUUCCCCGCCUCGGCUAUUGCUGAUUCCCCUGCACGAGAGGUACGCCCCAACGGAGCCGAUCGCCGUUUCAUCGGCUGUUGCUGAUUCCCCCGUACGAGAGGUACGCCCAACGGAGCCGAUCGCCAUUUCAUCGGCUGCUGCUUCUGUAAAGCCGACUGCUGCUCCAUCGGCUGCCGCUCCUCCCUCUGGAGGUGCAAUCCAUGCGGCCUCUACCGCCACCGCUCAUUCCUCGGGAGGGACACCUUCCCGGGAGCCGAUCACCCCUUCGUUGGCCAUCGCUGCUUCCUCCUCGAGACAGGUAUAUCUUCUCUUUGUAACUAUUUUGGUCUUUUUCGUAAUGCCUGUCUCACUCUCUUCUCCUUCAGAACCUGGAUCUUUCAGAGCUCCUUGCGUUUGACCCUGCCACGAUUGGGUCAACCAUACUGGAGGCCGAUGAUUCUUCCUCAGGCCCAACCAGCGCUGCCGAUCAACUUCUCCGUGUGAAGGAUCUUCUGUCGGGCCCUAUCUCUGCUUUGAUCCAGGAUUCUAGUGCGAUCAAGCAGAUCCUCGACGAGAUUAGCUCCCAGCUCCCUGUCAGCCUCCAGGUCAAGCUUUUGACAGCAGGGUACCUUUCUUCCUUUCAAGCGAAAGUAGCAGAGGCUCGCCGCAGGAUCGAGACCCGGCGUUCCCAAUCGCUCUUGAGGACCAUUAUCGCCGAAAUGUGUCAGUCGAUCAACAAGAAGAAAGCCGCACUCGAUGCCAAGAUCGAUACAUCUGCUUCCGCCCAUCGGCUCCACCUCUUGGAGAAAGAAUUGGAAGACCUUGAAGCUAGGGUCCAGGCCACCAAACAGCGCAUCCAAGAGGAGAAGAAUCUCAUCGCGGGUUCCAAGCAGGAGGCAGAAAUCCUAACCACUGAACUGAAGACGGACUUGGCCCAGCUGAACAGCUUGAACAAACAGGUGGUGCCGGGGCAGACAAAGAGGACGAAGCAGUGCUUGAUGAGGUUGACCACAUCCGUCUUGAUGCUAUCGCCGCUAUCGACGCCUUCCUUCUGCAGCCCUGUCCGAGAUAAACUUUGUGUUUAUGUGGUAAACCUGUGGUGUUUUUAUGUAGCGAAUCUAAAGUCGAUGGUGGCACAUCGGCUGUUUGGUAACCUGUGACGCCUGAUUACCAUAAGCACAAUUCUAGAGCCGGUGGCACCGCAUCGGCUGUUCUAAUCUGAUCGGGUCGAUCAAUACUUGUUGUUCUUUCUUCGUCUCCUAUACUUGGCUUACUGGUCGCAUCGGCUUGUGGCCUGAUGGGUAUCAUCGGCUUCAUUGUUCAUUAGCCCACAUACUUGGGAAGUACCUCUUAAGGUGUUGGCCAUUGACUGCUACUGGGAACUUAACGCCGUCCAAUUCUUCUAGCAUGUACGCAUUCCCUGGUAAGACCUGGUCGACCUUGUACGGCCCAUGCCAAUUUGGAGACCAUUUGCCAUAAGCCGCGUCUUUAGUUCCCAAUGGCAAUACUGCUUCCCAAACCAAAUCUCCCACCUGAAACUCCUUCGGCUUAACCUUUUUAUUAUAUGCACGGGCCACUUUAGCCUUAUUUUCCUUGAUUUUCUCUAGGGACCAUAGUCUGAGUUCCGUGAGAUCUUCCACAUUGUCGCUCAUCAGGGUAGCAUACUCUUCAGCGGACAAAUCAUUCUGGAAUUCUACACGCCUUGAUCCGGCCGUAACCUCCCACGGCAACACGGCCUCCUGCCCGUAGACCAAGUGGUAAGGAGAAGUUUUUGUCGCUCCGUGACAUGAUAUGCGGUACGCCCAAAGUGCUUCUGAUAGGACCUCGUGCCAACGUCUAGGGUACUCAUCAAUCUUCCUUUUGAUCAACUUGAUAAGACUCUGGUUGGACGCUUCGGCCUGUCCAUUUGCCUGAGCAUAAUAUGGAGAUGAUCUAAUCAGCUUGAUUCCCAUAUCAGCAGCAAACUUCUUGAAUUCUUCUGAAAUGAAAAUCGAGCCACCAUCCGUUGUAAUAGUCUGUGGAAUUCCAAAUCUGUGAAUGACGUGCUCCUUGACAAACUGAAUAACGUCCCUGGACGUCACUGACUUCAUCGGAACCGCUUCCACCCAUUUGGUAAAAUAAUCUGUGAUAGCUAGGAUGAACUGAUGACCCUUGCUAGAUGGGGGAUUAAUUUUGCCGAUCAUGUCCAUACCCCAGCCUCUGAACGGCCAUGGUUUAAUGAUGGGGUUCAUAACGGACGCUGGUACCAUCUGGAUUUUUCCAAACCUCUGACAUGCCUGACACCCUUUAUAGUAUUUAAAACAAUCUUCAAGCAUGGUGGGCCAGUAAUAUCCUGAUCGCCUAAUUAGCCAUUUCAUUUUGUGUGCCGAUUGAUGGGUCCCACACGUUCCUUCAUGAACUUCAUGCAGGAGCCGAUUGGACUCCACUGGCCCCAAACACUUAAGCAGUAACCCCUCUAAGGUCCUGUAGAACAUAUCAUCCCCUAUGAGAACAUACUUCAUAGCUUUGUAUCGUAUCCUCUUGGGUGCCCCCCGAGCCGAAUCCUUCAAGUAAUUGAAGAUAUCGGCUCUCCAAUCUCCCUGGUCCAGAAAGUAUACCUGAUGAACUGACCCAUCGGCUUUGUACCCUGAAGCCAACUGUGCUAGAUCAUUGGCUUCGGCGUUCCGAGCCCUGGGUAUCCAAUAAAAAUUAAUGUACCUGAACUGGGCUAUCAGCUCCUGGCAUUGGACCCACAUUGGGAACAGCAGCUCGCUUUCGCACCUGUAUUCUUCUGUAAGCUGGGAAACUACCAAUUUUGAAUCCCCAAAAACUUCCACUGCUUCAGCUCCGGCCUCUAAAAGCAAUUCCAUACCUUUUCGUACCGCCUCAUAUUCUGCAAGAUUGUUGGUACAGGCGACAGGUAAUCUGAUCGAAAAAGAAUACGUUGCCCCCCGAGGCGAUACCAGUAAGACGCCGAUGCCGCAUCCAUCCCCACAAACUGAUCCGUCGAAGUACAUGGCCCAGGCUCGUAUAGACAGUGCUGCGAUAUUGGUGUUAACCCUCUCGGCGAUAAGAUCCGCUAACGCCUGCCCUUUAACUGCUUUUGCAGGUUGAUAUCGGAUAUCAAAUUCUGAUAACGCGAACAUCCACUUCCCCAAUCGGCCUUUCAAAACAGGAGCCGAUAACAUAUGUUUUAUGACAUCCGAUUUGCAGAUGACGACCACUUCAGCCGAUAGCAGGAUAUGGCGAAGCUUGGUGCAUGUAAAGAAUAAACAUAAACAAAGUUUUUCCAUGUCGGGGUACCUUGUUUCCGCAUCCAACAAUCUUCUGCUGAGAUAAAAGACCACCUUUUCUUUGCCAUCAUACAAUUGUACCACCACUGAAGCAAUAGAAGUGUUGCCCAUUGAUAGAUAUAUAUAAAACGGUCUAUCCUGUUGUGGUGGCACCAGCACAGGCGGAUUCGACAAAUAUUCUUUGAUUUCUUCAAAUGCCCGCUGUUGGUCUGCCCCCCAGCGGAACUCGUCAGUCGUUCUAGUCUUGACUAACUCCAUAAAAGGCUCGAUCCAUCCAGACAAAUUAGAAAUAAAUCUCCUGACAAAGUUAAUCUUACCAAUGAGCUGCUGGAGCUCUUUCUUGGUGGUGGGUGGCACCAUGGUGCGUACGGCUUCCUGACUUUUUAGGCCAAUCUCUAUCCCUCUUUCAUGAACUAGAAAUCCCAGGAACUGCCCAGCCGACACACCAAAAGCACACUUCUUUGGGUUCAUCCGGAGCCCGAACUUUCUAGUUCGUUCCAGAACCCGCCGCAGGUCGUCUAAAUGUCCCUCGACCGAUGCUGACUUUACCACAACGUCGUCGAUAUAAAUUUCUACUAGAUUACCGAUCAGAUCAUGGAAAAUAUGGUUCAUAGCCCGCUGAUAUGUAGCACCAGCAUUCUUCAAGCCGAAAGUCAUAACCACGUACUCGAACAAGCCCACUGCUCCAGGCACUCUGAACGCAGUUUUGUGUAUAUCUUCAGAGGCCAUGAAGAUUUGAUUAUAUCCUGCAUUACCAUCCAUAAAACUCAAAAUCUUGUGGCCGGCGGCAGCGUUGAUUAGUGUUUCUGCAAUGGGCAUCGGGUAUUCGUCUUUUGGAGUGGCCCUAUUAAGAUCCCUGAAGUCCACGCACACCCUCCAUCGGCCAUCUUUCUUCUGUACGGGCACGAUGCUCGAAAUCCAUUCGGCGUACCUGCAAGUCCUGAUAAAUCCAGCUUCCAGCAUCUUUUCUAUUUCUUUCUUCACCUCGACCAGAACUUCGGCUUUCAUCUGUCGUGCUCGUUGCUGGAACGGUCGAAACCCACUCUUGAGGGGAAGCCGAUGCUCUACUAUUUUCCUAUCUAGUCCAGGCAUCUCUGUGUAAUCCCAUGCGAAGCAAUCGGCAUAUCCCUUUAGCAAUGCUAUCAUCGGCUCUCGUAGUGCUGGGUGUAACUUCCUACUUAUGAAUGUUGGUCGUGGCUUAUCCCCCGGACCGAUGUCUAUCUCCUCAAGUUCAUCAGCCGAUGUGAAACCAUAUCCUAACUUCCCUUCUUCUUCCAUUAGAUCAACAUUGCAAAUGGAGAAAGGACACAGCAUAAAAAAACUCGGCCGAUCGUUAAGAUCGGCCGUUCCACACAUCCCCUUACUUUCCAAGUUUUUGUAAGAAGAACAGGGCCGGCUGUUAAUGCUGGCCAUUUUAUAACGCCUACGAAACACAUUUAUAUUUACAACUUCGUUCCUUCGGGGCCGAUUGCAAGAACCGGCCUUUAUGACUCCGCUACCACAUGUUGCCUCCUGUUCCUUUACUCUGUGAGGCCGGUGGAUAAGACCAGCCUUACUCCGUUUUUUGUAGCUUCGAUGCGAUCACACCCUUCCAGGCUCAUUCCUGAAAUCGGCUCUUGAUCUUCCGCAUCCCAAAUGCUCAUGGCCGCAUGUGAAAUUUCGAUCGAGUCGUCUGCCUGGACUACUUCCACCUCGUCUCCGUCCCAUUGGAUCAAACAUUGAUGCAUCGUGGAAGGGAUGCAACAGUUGGUGUGGAUCCAAUCCCUGCCAAGUAAAACAUUGUAGGUGCUCUUGCUGUUGACGACGAAGAGCGAGGUCGGGACAGUUUUGUUUCCGACGGUGAGAUCCACACUAAGGACACCUUGGGCUUCUGAAGUCUGGCCGUUAAAAUCACUUAGGGUGACAUUGGUCUUGAUCAAGUCUGCGGUGGAUCGCCCCAAACGGCGCAGGACUGAGUAUGGCAUAAUGUUGACCGCCGCUCCCGUAUCCACCAACAUCUUAUUUACAGGCUGACCGUUAAUAAACCCCUUAAGAUAUAAAGCUUUCAGGUGUUUGUAAUUCUUAGCUUGCGGCUUCUCGAAUAUCACUGGCCGAGGUCCCAAAUCAAGUUGGGCCACCGAUGGCUCCUCCUGGGGCCUCGCAUGGAACUCUGCAGGAAGCACAAAAACCAUGUGUGCAUCAGCCGAUACCUUCUUAUCGGCUUUCGUUGACUUGGGUCGCCAUUCCUUCCUGGGCGGGCGCGACUCCUUUUCCUGCACAUAGUGAACUUGUUCUGCCAAAUCUGGUCGUGCCUUCCUUAAAGUCUCGAUGUACUUAGCUUCGGCCUCCUCCAAGCUACGCAGCCGUUGAACCCUGCGCUUCUGGGAACGACUAAGUCCAUCGGGACACCAACGAGGACGAUGAUACCUGUCCUCUUCUUCAUCUUCCUUUUGUGAUGACCGAACCCGCGCUUGCCGGAGUGGGGCAGGUCCUAUCCGCUGAAAAACCGAAUCCCUUGCUUCUGGUCUCCUUGGUCCACACUCUGGGCAAUCCUUGAUUGUAGGCAAUCGGCUCAUACCUGAAUCCCAACAGUACCUGAAGAACGGGCAGUGCCAAUGAUCGCGGGCUUCUUCGUGCUUCCUCAAACGCUUCCCGGUCCGGCGCUCAUACUCCUCUUCCUCAGAUUCCCGAUGGAGGCGCUGCUAGAACUGGUGCUCGUACUUCCUGAGAAGAUCAGAAGAAGUUGGCCGUUGGUUCCUUACGUACCUUACUUGCCUUUCUGUAAUAUAUUCACCCUUUUCAUUUUGGGGCCGAUCGCUCGAAUCAGCCUCUCCAUCUUCGAUCUGGCGGCGUGAUGCCACCCCCGCCAUGUUGAUGCCCAGUGCGAAAUUGAGUUGUCGCCUUGCCGUCCGAUCGUUGCUUUCCACCAUAUUGACACCAGGGAACGGCUGAGUGUUGACUUUCAUAGCGGUCUGUCCCAAGAUCAAUCGGCCCUGCUCAAUAGCCGAUUGGAUCUGCCGACGAAGCUCCUUACAAUCGCUUGUGCUGUGGGUGAAGGAAUCAUGCCAUUUGCAAUAUGAUCUUCCUUUCAAAUCUUGCGCCGUAGGGGGUUUGUAACCUUCUGGGAAUUUCAACUGUUUUUCUUUCAGCAAUAAAUCAAAAAUUUGUUCCACUUUACUUACAUCGAAAUCAAACCCCUUUGCCGGUCCUGUUUGCUUUACCCACUUGCACGAUACGGGAUUCGCACCACGAGCCCAUUCCGCAACCGAUACUUCCGCUUCUUCCUCGGAGUCAUCGGCUUCUUCAGUGUCAGCUAACGCUACUUGGCGCUUGAACUUUUCCUGGUACAGCUCAGGGUGACGCUGCUCGUACAUCGUCAACUUCUGGACCAGAUGUGCCAGCGAAGUAAAUUCCAAUUGAAAAGCCAGAUCUCGAAUCGGCUUCAACAACCCUAGAGAUGCCAAUUCCACAGCUUCCUUUUCUGGGAUCCGUGUUGAAUAACACCUAUUUUUCAUCUCCCUGAAGCGUCGAACGAAUUCCGCCACAGUUUCUCCACGCUUCUGUCGCAUUUGGGCCAGAUCGGCAAUCCCUGCGUCUGCAGCUUCUGAGUGAUACUGAAUAUGAAAUUGUUCUUCCAAUUGUUUCCACGUACGGAUGGAGUCAGGACCCAAUGACGUGUACCACCCGAAAGCCGAUCCCGUAAGCGAUUGCGAGAAGAACCUUACUCGUAGCGGAUCCGACACAGAAAUCAUUCCUAACUGUGCCAAAUAUCGGCUCACGUGUUCGAUAGAACUAGCACCUUCUGCCCCACUGAAUUUGGUAAACUCGGGGAGCCGAUAUUUGGGUGGCAAUGGAAUUAGGUCAUAAUCACUCGGAUACGGCUUUGUAUAGCCGAUCGCUCUCCUUUUCGGCAAAAUGCCAAACUGAUCCCUUAGGAUGGCACCAAUCUGCUCCGCUGUUUGUAAUCCGGGGGCCGAGUGCACACUAUCAUGACUCGGCCCUGUGGCAUAAGUUGCUAACCAAGCUUGCUUAUCCGCGUCAGCUCCAGGGACCCCUCCAGCUACUUUCUGUGAGAGAUGUAUUGGGUUACUGCUAUCCGGGAUGUAUGCGCACAUGUAACCAUGUGGGAUUUCCUUGGGCGGCUCACUGAAGAACUGGUGGUCUGUAGGAUCACCUCCCACUUUGUAAACCACGUAAGCUGGAGCACCAUGCGAUUCCGCUGCUGCAAGCGCAUAAGGCAAAGGAGGUCUAGUCUGGAAUGGCAAUUCUCCCUUAUGGCUCCCCAGAGCAGGCCCAGUCGGAGAAUGUUGAUGCUUCAUUAUUUCCUGGACCACCCGUAAAGCCACACGCUCAAAAGCAUUAACCAGACUUUCAGAAUGCCGGUGCAACGAAUGAGCCACCGCAUAAUUCACCUCCUGCCGCAAAGCUCUGGUACGAUCCUCGGACGGGGUAGACAGAUCCACUCCAUCAAGAGCACCUUCAGGUGAAAAACCUCUCCACCUGAUACCAUGGUUGCGAGUUCUUUCGAAAGAGCCGAUGAGAUCGGCUUCAAACUGAGCCUUGAUUUCGUCGUACCUCUGCUUAUGCUCAGCAGAGAGCUCCUCAUAAGAGAUCGGAUCCUCCCUUGCCAUCUUGUUGACCACCAGUGACGGAGUCGACGAAGAUGACGGAGUCGAUGAAGAAGAUGCCGAAGAUGAUGACGAAGUCGAUGAAGAAUGUCCCACUGGGCGUGCCAGAAUGUGUUGUCGGUCAAAACCCGCCGGCGGGCAGCGACAGGCAACACGAGGAGCCGGGAGGCUUCCGGGACGGCUGGUGGGCCCCGGUCCCUCGGUCAACGGCCCAGUGAUCUGGCGCGCGCCCUGGCUGAGAAUCGCUAGGCGUGCCACCUGAUCCUACACCCGAUCAGGAAGGUGUGACGUGUCGAACUCCUGCAUACACAGACAUGUGUAAAAGUUAAUCCGAGCCGUGAUCGGCUCAUUACCUCCUCCCCGGUAUCGGCUAUGAAGAGCCGAUUGCGUCAAUACCGGAUCGGAUCUUUGGAACAGGCAAUAUAGAAAUUGGUACGUACAUAUAUAUUUAAAUAAAACUCGCCUCAUAAAUAACAAUCUAAUCCAAUCCACAACAACUAAGCCCUCACUGCACGAUCGGAACAUCCUACACGUAAUUGAGCCUAAUAGAUACACAAAAGCAUCGACAAGACGAUCUAAACAGAGAGCAAGAGAACAACUAAAAGCCGAUUCCCGAACAACCUCUAUUCAGGCAAAAAGCCGAUACAGAGCAUUCUAUCGGAUCAUUCAACUCGUUUGCAAGGCCUAAUCGUGCACAUAUUGAACCAAGCUUCUAAAUACAUAGAAACCAGCCAUAACAGAUUGGAUCUACUGACAACUACGAAACGAGAUAAAACCAUCAUACCCACGAACGGGUACGAUGAUCAAACAUGCGAGAGCAACGCAUAAAGCACAAUGAAAGCACCAAAAGAAAAGAUUACUCAACGCAUGCCAGGAUAAAUAACGCUACUCGCCAUCUACAAGGCUUCAGCACGAGCAACGUAUAAGCGAACGAGCAAGGGUGACGCUACCCCGAUCACGCAAGACGUGAUCGGGGUCGCGUGGCACUUACCCGAUGAAAAACCCUAAAACAGGGGAGGCGAUACGCCGAGAGUUGAUGAUGAUUGAUUCUGUUUCUUGUUUAUUCAUAGUACAUAUUUAUAGUCCGUAGACUUGUUCUCUUUAACUAACCCUAACCUAACACGACACGAAUCUUAACUGUUUAUUCCUAAUUUACACGGCCUUAUGGCCUCCAUCUUCCACACGGGCCCGAUUCGCAAGCUUUGUCACGACCGCCUUCCAAGCCCAUCUUGCUCCGUGGCCCACUUCUGACCUAGUCAAAAUACGGUGAUAACACCUUCGGCUUGAAAAAUGCUGGCACUACGUAUCAGCGUGCCAUGAACCACAUUUUCCAUGAUUUGAUCGGCAAUCUGGUGGAGAUUUAUAUCGAUGACGUUGUGGUAAAGUCAGCAUCGGUCGAGGGACAUCUAGAUGAUCUACGGCAGGUUCUGGAACGAACUAGAAAGUUCGGGCCCAGGAUGAAUCCAAAGAAGUGCGCUUUUGGUGUCAGCCGGGCAGUUCUUGGGUUUUCUGGUUCAUGAAAGAGGAAUAGAGAUCGGCCUAAAAAGUCAGGAAGCCGUACGCACUAUGGUAUCACCUACCACCAAGAAGGAGCUCCAGCAACUUAUUGGUAAGAUUAACUUCGUCAGGAGGUUUAUUUCUAAUCUAUCUGGGCGAAUUGAACCCUUUAUGGAGUUAGUGAAAACCAAAACCAACGACGAGUUCCGCUGGGGGGCAGAACAGCAGCAGGCAUUCAAAGAAAUCAAAGAAUAUUUGUCGAGACCGCCUGUGUUGGUGCCACCACAAUAGGAUAGGCCAUUUUACAUAUAUUUGUCAAUUGGCGACACCUCUAUUGCUUCAGUGGUAGUACAAUUAUAUGAUGGCAAGGAGAGGGUGGUAUUUUAUCUCAGCAGGAGAAUGUUGAAAGCAAAGACAAGGUACCCCGAUAUGGAGAAACUUUGUCUUUGUUUAUUUUUUACGUGCACCAAGCUUCGCUAUAUCCUGCUAUCGGCUUAGGUAAUCAUCAUUUGCAAAUCGGAUGUCAUAAAACACAUGCUAUCGGCUCCUGUAUUGAAAGGCCGAUUGGGAAAAUGGAUGUUUUCAUUAUCAGAGUUUGAUAUCCGAUAUCAACCCGCAAAGGCAGUUAAAGGGCAGGCGUUAGCGGAUCUCAUUGCUGAGAGGGUCAAUACCAAUAUAGCAGCACUUUCUGUACGAGCCUGGGUUAUGUACUUCGACGGAUCAGUUUGUGGAGACGGAUGUGGCAUCGGCAUCUUACUGGUAUCGCCUCGGGGGGCAACGUAUUCUUUCUCGAUCAGGUUACUUGCUACCUGUACCAACAACCUUGCAGAAUAUGAGGUGGUGCAUAAAGGCAUGGAAUUGCUUCUGGAGGCCGGAGCUGAAGCAGUGGAAGUCUUCGGGGAUUCAAAAUUGGUAAUCUCCCAACUUACAGAAGAAUACAGGUGCGAAAGUGAACUGCUAUUCCCGUUGUGGGUUCAAUGCCAGGAGCUAAUGGCCUAGUUCAGGUAUAUAAAUUUUUAUUGGAUACCUAGGGCUUGGAAUGCAGAGGCCAAUGAUCUAGCGCAACUGGCUUCAGGGUACAAAACCGAUGGGUCAAAUCAUCAGGUGUACUUACUGGACCAGGGAGAUUGGAGAGCCAAUAUCUUCAAUUACUUGAAGGAUUCGGCUCGGGGGGCACCCAGGAGGAUACGGUACAAAGCCAUGAGGUAUGUUCUGAUAGGGGAUGAUAUGUUUUACAGGACCUUGGAAGGAUUAUUGCUUAAGUGUUUGGGGCCGGUCGAAUCCAAUCGGCUCCUGCAUGAAGUUCAUGAGGGAACGUGUGGGACUCAUCAAUCGGCUCACAAGAUGAAGUGGCUAAUUAGGCGAUCAGGGUACUACUGGCCCACCAUACUUGAAGAUUGUUUUAAGUAUUAUAAAGGGUGUCAAGCAUGUCAGAGGUUCGGAAAGAUCCAGAUGGUGCCAGCAUCCGUGAUGAACCCCAUCGUUAAACCAUGGCCGUUCAGAUGCUGGGGUAUGGAUAUGAUCAGCAAAAUCAAUCCUCCAUCUAGCAAGGGUCAUCAGUUCAUUUUGGCUAUCACAGAUUAUUUCACCAAAUGGGUGGAAGCGGUCCCAAUGAAAUCGGUGGCAUCUAAGGAUGUUAUUCAGUUCGUCAAGGAACAUGUCAUUCACAGAUUUGGGAUCCCACAGACCAUUACAACAGAUAGUGGUUCGGUUUUUAUUUCAGAAGAAUUCAAGAAGUUUGCCGCUGAUAUGGGUAUCAAGCUGAUUAGAUCGUCCCCAUAUUAUGCUCAGGCAAAUGGUCAGGCCGAAGCGUCCAAUCAGAGCCUUAUCAAGUUGAUCAAGAGGAAGAUUGAUGAAUACCCCAGACGCUGGCACAAGGUCCUGUCAGAAGCACUGUGGGCAUACCGUAUAUCCUGUCAUGGGGUGACAAAGACUUCCCCUUAUCAUCUUGUCUACGGGCAAGAAGCCGUGUUACCAUGGGAAGUUACGGCCGGGUCAAGGCGUAUAGAAUUCCAGAAUGACUUAUCUACUGAGGAAUAUGCUACUCUGAUGAGUGAUAAUAUGGAGGACCUCACGGAACUCAGGCUAUGGUCGCUAGAGAAGAUCAAGGAGAAUAAGGCUCAGGUAGCCCGUGCAUACAAUAAAAAGGUCAAACCGAAAGAAUUCCAAGUAGGAGACCUGGUCUGGGAAGCAGUAUUACCAUUGGGAACUAAGGACGCGGCAUAUGGCAAUUGGUCCCCAAACUGGCACGGGCUGUACAGGGUUGACCAGGCCCUACCUGGGAAUGCAUACAUGCUUGAAGAAUUGGAUGGCGUCAAGUUUCCAGUGGUGGUUAACGGCCAACAUCUUAAGGAAUACUUCCCAAGUAUGUGGGCCGACGAACAGUAAAGCCGAUGGCACCCAUCAGGCAAUAAGCCGAUAUGACCAGUAAGCUAAGAAAGCUGACACGGGCCAAGCCGAUGGUGUUUUGGCAAGACAAGAAAUAAAAAGGGAGGCCGAUGGAAAUGAUCGGCUCAUACGUUAACAAAAAGCACUAGAACAGCCGGUGUAAACCAUCGACUUUAGGAGUUUUUUGGUAGCAAUCAAUCACAACAAGUUAUCAGAUAGCCAAUGUAUAACCAUCGACUCCAGGGUCACGACAUGAAAAUAUAGAGUUCAUCUUGGACAGGCUUUCUGGAGGAAAUCAUUGAUGGCAGCAAUGGCGUCAAGGCGGAUGCGGUCAACUUCAGUAAUCACCGCUUCAUCUUCUUCGUCCGCCCCCGGCACCACUUGCUUGCUCAAGCCGCUCAGCUCGGCCAGGUCUGCCUUCAGCUCAGCGGUCAAGACCGCUGCCUCCUGUUUGGAACCUGCAAUAAGAUCUUUCUCUUCUUGAAUGCGCUGUUUGGUGGCCCGGACUUUAGCCUCAAGGUCUUCUAGUUCUCUCUCCAGGAGAUGAAGCCGCUGGGCAGAGGCAGAUGUGUCAGCCUUGGCAUCGAGUUCUGCUUUCUUCUUGUUGACUGAUUGGCACAUCUCGGUGAUGAUAGUCCUUAAGAGCGAUUGGGAACGCCGAGUCUCAAUCCGAUGGCGAGCCUCUGCCACUUUUGCUUGGAAGGAAGGGAGGUACCCGGCUGGCAAAAGUUUGACUUGAAGGCUCACAGGGAGCUGGGAGUUGACCUCGUCAAGAAUCUGCUUCACCGCACUGGAAUCCUGGAUCAGGGUGUCGGUCGGACCCGAUAGGAUAUCCUUCAUAUGGAGAAGUCAAUUGGCAAUGCUGGCCAAGCCCAGGGGAGAGUCAUCAGCUUCCAAUAUGGCCGAUCCGAUUGAGGCAGGAUCAAACGCGAGGAGCUCUGAAAGGUCCAGAUUCUGGCGGAAAAGAGGGUGAGUAAGGCAUAGAGGAAAAAGACCGAAGUAAUAAAAAACAAUAAGGCAUACCCGUCCCGAGAGAGAUGUAGUGAUAGCCGAUGAAGGAACGAUCGGCUCCUGAGGGCAUGCCCCUUCCGAAGGCUGAGCAACGACGGUAGAGGCCAGAGGAGCCACGCCUCCAGAAGAGGAAGCAACAACCGAUGAGGUGGCGGUCGGCUCUGCUGGACGUGUCUCUCGUGCAGGGAGAUCGGCAGUAACCGAAGCCAUGGAUGGUCUUUCCAUAGAGAGGCUAACAAGGGACGCAGGCACGACCGGCUCCUGCGGACCUGGCGAAGCAGCCGGGACGUCAGCCGAUGCAGAAGGAUCCGCCGGGAUUGCCGCACCAGGAUCGCGAAGAGUGAUCAAAGCCCUGAUGGGCACGUCCACGUCCUCUGGUACUUCCGAAGAUGAGCCCUUCUGGCAUGGGGGCUCUUCCCCGCUGGAGACGUCCACGAUGGCAGGCUGCAGGGGGAGAGGGUAUAAUUAAAGAAGACAGCCACGAACAGAAGUUCGAUUACGAAGACAGGAGGAAGAUCCGAACCUGGUUAGCAACUGGAAUUUCUGGAUUGGGGGAAGAUGGCGCAGUUUCCUUCCGGACAUUUCUGACCAGGACCUUCCUCAUUUUAGCGUGAGUUCGAGGGGCAACAGCCUUAGAAGAUUGCCUCCGCUUGGGGGUCAGCUUUGCAGUGCUGGGCUGGAUUUGCAUGAUGCUCUUCGAAGGAGGAGGUGCGUUUUUGCCGAAAAGGACCACAGGGGUGAUCGGCGAGAAACGGAAGGGUGAUCCAUCAUCAUUCGUCGGCUCUGGGCCAUCUUCCUGCUGCAGAAAUGAAAGACAAAAUCAGAAAGGGCUCAAGAAGGUCAAAAGUGAAACAUUAGUCGAGAAGCAAUACCUCUUCAGCGGGGAUUUCAUAUUCGGAAUGAACCCGCUGCAGCAUCGGACCCAGAGCUCUUCGGAAAACGUGGAUUUUCCACAUUGACCACCACCCCUCAAAAUCAACAGCCGAAGAAGUGAAGGUCAGAUUGGCAGGGAUAGAUAGGGGAAGAUCUGUAAACAGACCGUAGCACCUCUGGGUGGUCAAGGCAUCAAGAAGAUCUACCCUAUUGGAUGUCAAGAAGUGAAGAAGAAAAUGGGGAGGCACCUGCCCAAGACCAAACUGCCGGGCUGCCACGACCGGCUGGUAGAAUUCAUAACCAGGCUUGAUGAUCCGAUUAGAGGUACUCAUGCCAACUGGAAGAAGGCAAGGCCGAACCAUGAUGGAAUAUAGGCGCCUAGUGUCGGCGUCAUGGGAAAGGUCGGCUAGCCGAAACAUAGGCGGGUUCUCGAAAAGUUCAGAAUCGGCAUAUAGAAGGAAGUUUGGGUUAACUAAGCCUUUGUAGAAAAUCCCGAACCAGCGAGAAGCAUCUGGGGGAUACAAUUUCCCGCCGGGGAGACUGUAUAAAGCCUGCCCAAAACUGGUACACCUAAUCUGUCUCCCACUCAGAUCUGGGAAAGAAUUGCCGACCAAGGAAGGGAAAUUAGGGAUGGAACUUUGGAAAUAAAGGUGAGCCCACAACUGGAUGAACCACCACGGAAUACCAGUUCUGAGUUUCUUCUGUGAAAGAAGGCUCGAAGUCAUCAGAUGAAGGUAUCUGUAAAGUUCCCCAAGAAAUAGUUUACCAAGGCCAACAGGGUGACCUUUGGCCAGCUCGUAAGCCAGGGAGAGGUAAUUCUUGGUUGGGGCAAGGGAAGGGCCACAGAAGAGGAAAUGUUCGAGCCACAGAUUUAGAAAGGCCGUGUGCUCCUUCUCUGAUACAGGACCCUUGCUCUUCUGGUGUUGGCUCAAGUAUGUACUCCAGUUAGUACAUUCUGCCUUGGAAGACAGUUUGAAGGGAAGUACAGAGAGUCUAUAAAUAGAAGGACAAGCUGAUGAUAUGUCUAAGCCAGUGAUCAUCAUGACAUCCAGCAGCGUUGGUGUCAUCGGACCGUGCCCAAAAAGAUAACAAUUCAAAGGAUCAGACCAAAGGUAGCCGAUAGUCUUCAGAAGGUUCUCAUCUUUUUCAAGAGGAGAAAGGGACAGAGACAGGGCAUCGGCUAUCCCGGUGGAUUCCCAUAAGGGCUGGUAGGCAUCCGCCAUUCUGUUAUACCAAACUAUCCAACCUUCAGGAGGAUUUGGCCAAGCACGGAGGCUAUCUGACCAAGAUUCUAGGUCUAUGUCCUGACUCACGAAAGGGAUCCGAUUGGCUUCGGAUGAGAUCAGAUCUACGGGCUUCUCGAAAGAACGAGGCCCGAGGCAGUAAGAAUUGGGGGGAAGAAGGGUGUGGUAAGAAGAUAUCGUAAGCCUGAAAAAACCCCAAGAAAACAAGGUUGCCGAGGAAAGAGUCAUUUAACCACGCAGUAAAUUUCACAGUUGCUGCAUUAAAUUAAUGAGGGUCGAAGUUUACCUUCAGACCGAAGACGGCGGCAGCGGUGUUCGAAGAUUCCGCCAUCGGGAAUCUUGAAUCGAGAUCUUGGAGAGUAGAUCUAGGGUUGGCGGCGCAGGAUCGAGUGUGCAUUUCAAGGAGCAGAGGAGGAUCUUGCGGCUAGGGUUUAUGAGCAAAAGAGUUGCGCAGCCAGCCUGGAUUCCAGAAUCAACGGAGAUUUGCUUUGGAUUUGAGGUCCGACAGAAGGUAAAGCAAAUUGGAAGGUUAUUUUAGGUCCGGAUUGGUAUAUUCUAAGGCUGAUGCGUUGCCAUCGGCUCUUGAGCAGACUGUUAUGCGCAAGAAAAUUAUUGAUACAAAGAGAAUUCCAUUCACAACAAGCAAGUACAAAAGAAGAGCUAACUGCUCUUUGAAACAAACUAAUGGUGGUGCUACAGCCUACCACCAGUACACGCCAGUAGUCUUGCGGCACUUGGUCGGUGGAGCAACACUAGCACCACUAUCAUUGCUACUGUUGCCACUACUGCCAUCAUUCUCACUGCUGGUAUGGGUGAAGCUGUCAUCGUCUUCGGUGUCCUCGGUGUCAUCGGAAGCUUCGUCUGAUGACCUGCUAAAGAGGAAGUUACCUGCCAUCGAGUCUUCGUCGGAGGAAAAGGAAUCGACUUUCUCUUCUGAGGAGGGGAAGUCUUCCCCCCAAGAUGCAUUGUCUUCGUCUUCCUCCAGCUCGGCUCCGAAGAGGAGUGCAAGAUCCUCGCCGUCAGUCAGAGAUUCGUCAUCCUCCGACUGGAAAUGGAAAUCCCAUUCUUCCGCAUCCCAGUGUGGGGGAGCACGGGCUUCGUAAGCAGCUAUCGGAUCAUAUUCUGGAGUGGCUCUCGGGAGGUAUCGGAUUCAAAAGAGAUGACGGAGGAAGCAGAAGAAGAAGAGGCCAUAACAAGAGAGAAGAGAAAAGCGUAAUGGCUAAUGGCUGUGAGAGAAAGAUGAUUGGGGAGAUGCUGGGGGGUAAGUUUAUAAAGGUAAACAGAGAGGUGAAGUGAAUCGGCACCGUGACGGUUCCCUAGGAGAUUGAUACAGAGCAGUCACAUCCAUUGGAAGUCGAAAGGGCGUGGCUGUAUGGAUCGGAAGCCGAAGGGUCGUGGCGAUUUUAAAAUAGGUGAUUUCGGAAUUACCAUUGCCGAAACCAGGGGGGCAUGUGUUAUCGCCAUAAUUUGACCGGGCCAGAAGUGGGCCAUGGAGCAAGAUGGGCUUGGAAGGCAGUUACGAUAAAACUUGCGAAUCAGACCCUGUGCAGGAGAAUGGGGCUAGAAAGGCCGUGUGAUUUGGAUAUAGGCAGUUCAGAUUCGUGUCGUGUUUAGUCUACGGACUAUAAAUAUGUACCAUGAAUAAACAAGAAAGACAGAAUCAUUCAUCAACAACUUUCGGCGCAUCGCCUCCCCUGUUUUAGGGUUUUCAUCGGGUAAGUGCCAUGCGGCCCCGAAGCAUUACCCUUGCUCGUUUGUUCAUAUGUUGCUCGUUCUGAAGCCUUGUAGAUGGCGAGUAGCAUUAGUUAUCCUAGCACGCAUAGAGUAAUUUUAUCCCUUUUGCAUCUUGAUCAUGCUUUGCUCAUUGCUCUUGUGUGCUUAAUCAUCAUGUUCAACAACGAAUGCGAUGGUUGUGUCUUGUUUUGUCUUUAUCAGUAGAUCCAAUCUGUUAAGGCUAGUUUCUGUUUAUUUAGAGGCUUGGUUCGAUAUGUGCAUGAUUAGGCCUUGCAAACGAGUUGAACGUUCCGGCUGUAUGCUUUUGUGUCGGCUUGUAGCUUGAGAGGGGGUUGCUAUAAGAAUCGGCUUUUCCGGUUAUUUAUACAAUCUUGGUUUAAGUCAUAUGAUCUGAUGCUUUUGUAUAUUUGUUAGGCUCAAUCACGUGUAGGAUGUUCCGAUCAUGCUGUGAGGGCUUAGUCGUCGUAGAUUGGAUUAGACUGGUAUUUAUGAAGCAAGAUUUAUUUCAUUAUCGAAUAUAUACAUAUUGCCUGUUCCAAAGAUUCGAUCCGGUAUUGAUGCAAUCGGCUCUUCAUAGCCGAUACCGGGGAGGAGUGGUGAGCCGAUUACGGCUCGGACUAACCUUUACAAGUGUCUGUGCUUACAGGAAUUUAAUACAUCACACCUUCCUGAUUAGGUGCAGGAUCAGGUGGCACGCCUAGCGACUCCAAGCCAAGGUGUGCGCCAGAUCGCUGGGCCGUUGACCGAGGGACCAGGGCCCUCCAGCCGUCCCGGAAGCCUCUCGGCUCCUCGUGUUGCCUGUCGCUGCUCGCUGGUGGGUUUUGACCGACAACAGUUGUGUGCUAUUAUAUAUAUAUGCAAAUCUACCCCAGUAAUAAAUUAGGAGAGCCACCUAAUCUUACCUUAUCCCUCCUUGACCGCAGAUAUCCCGUCGUUCGAGCCAAGUCCAGGGACUCCAUGCUCAGGAAGACGGUGACGAGGUCAACCCGAGAAACCGGCCCCUCUGAAUGUAGCCCCAGAAGCAUCAGAAAAUGGACACCUACCGCCGCCACCUCCCCGUGCCCCAGCACCCAUUGAUCUAGCAGCCAUACUGCAGCAGCAGAACCAACUCCUUCAAGUUCUUCUGACCACUCUCAUAGCUCAAGCUCAAGGCAAUCUUGGCAACAAUAGACCUGUAAUGCAUCAUAAUGGCAAUGGCAGCAGAAUUGCAGAUUUCAACCGCUUGCAGCCACCUAAGUUUGGAGGAUCUGAUAACCCUAUUGAGGCAGAUGAUUGGCUGCGAGAGAUUGAAAUGAAGCUCGAAGUGGUCCAUGCAGAUGACAGAGACAAGGUUUUGCUCGCAGUACAGCAGUUAAGGGGACCAGCCCUUGCUUGGUGGUAGAGUUACCGGGAAAUAAAUGAAAACGCUAACGAGAUGGUAUGGGCUAACUUUGUCAAGAUCUUUAGAGAACAUCACAUUCCCAGCAGUGUUAUGAAGCUCAAGAGGGAUGAGUUCAGAAAGCUUCAUCAAGGUGGCAUGAAUAUGACGGAGUAUCUUCAUAAGUUCAUGGAGUUGUCUCGUUAUGCACCAGAGGAUAUCAAUGAUGAUGAAAAGAAGCAAGAAGCUUUUCUUGGUGGGCUUAACCCUGAAAUCAAGACCUUGGUUGAACUCACCACCCACAGUGACUUUAAUGCCAUGAUCAACAGGGCUAUCACCGCUGAGAGAAAUAGGAAGUCAGAACUCAGUGAGCGCAAACGACGAUUUGAAAGCAAGAAGCCCCAGCAGAUGGAGAAGUUUCAGAGGACUCAGUAUCCGACUCACUCAGGCCAGAGGAGCCAGGGUGCCUUCUCAUUUAAAAUGCACCCCGGUUCUUUCCAGAAGCCAGCCCAGUCAGCUCCUGUUAUGAAGACCCAGAAUAUCUCCCGCAUCCAACCGACUGGUGGAAGUCAAGUGACCAAUGUGAAGACCUGUUUCCACUGCCGCGAAGCCGAACAUUACAAGGCCAAUUGUCCAUAUCUCAAUCAGCCCGCCCCUUCUAUUUUCUCCAACUCUGUUCAAGGACCAAAGCAGCUGACGGGAGCCAACCGUACAGCACCAGCUAGGAGCCAACAGCAGUCCUUCAGCAAGGCAAAGGUGAACCAUGUGUAUGCUGAAGAAGCAGAGGAUGCACCAGGAGUGAUUUUCGGUGAGUUUCUGGUCCAAUCAGCUCUAGCCUCAGUGCUCUUUGAUUCUGGAGCAUCGUAUUCCUUUAUAUCCUCCCACUUUGUGGAAAAGCAUGAUAUACCUACUAUAGCCCUUAAGAGGCCGCUAAUGACACGUUCGCUUGGAGGUCAUAUACCUUGCCACUUAGGUGUCUUAGAUAUCCCUAUAAACCUAAGUGGGGUAGUAUUCCUUGCCAACCUAGUAGUCCUUGCUUCCAAAGGGAUAGAUGUCAUACUCGGUAUGGACUGGCUCACCAAGCACCGAGAAAACAUAGCCUGUGCUGAGAGAGCAGUGACAGUCACCAACCACCAAGGGUUAACAGUCACAUGCCUAAUCCAGUCUAGCCUAUCAGACUCCAUGGUGAACCACAUUCAAGCAGAAUCCCUAGAAGAUGUGCCAGUAGUUCGGGAAUUCGCAGAUGUGUUUCCAGAUGAAUUACCAGGUAUGCCUCCAGAAAGAGAUGUAGAGUUCACUAUUGACUUAGUCCCUGGAACCAAGCCUAUAGCAAAGAAUGCCUAUCGGUUAGCAGCCCCAGAGCUUGCCGAGUUGAAGAAGCAGCUUGAGGAGCUUCAACAAAAGAGAUUUAUUAGACCUACUGCUUCCGUGGGGAGCCCCAGUGCUCUUUGUGAAGAAGAAAGAUGGAAGCAUGAGACUUUGUGUGGACUACCAUGACCUGAAUGCAGCCACCAUCAAGAGCAAGUACCCUCUGCCUCGGAUUGAUGACCUGUUUGAUCAGCUGAAGGGAGCUAAGUUCUUCUCCAAGAUAGAUCUGAGGUCAGGUUAUCAUCAGCUCAGAGUGCGACAAGAGGACAUCUCUAAGACAGCCUUCAGGACCCGUUAUGGCCAGUAUGAGUUCACAGUGAUGCCUUUUGGUCUAACUAAUGCCCCUGCCUUUUUCAUGACCCUCAUGAAUAAGGUGUUUAUGGAGGAGUUAGAUCGGUUUGUCGUGGUAUUCAUAGACGACAUACUGGUCUACUCUAAGAGUGCUGAGGAGUAUGGACAACAUCUCAGAGUUGUGCUGGGAAAGCUUAGAAAACACCAGUUGUAUGCCAAGUUUAGUAAGUGUGAAUUCUGGUUGCAGAGAGUCAGUUUUCUGGGUCAUAUCUUAACAGCUGAAAAAAAAAAUUAGCUGAACCCUACUAAAAAUAGAAAAAAACUUAGUAAUUAUAGAAAAUUAACUAAUAACCAACCUAUUGCUUCGUAUUGUCGAGAUCCUAACUAAGAAACAGUCACUAUGUGAAUAAAUACAUCUAUAAAAAAUGAGUAGAUCUAUCAUAUAGUUGUAGCAACUGCAUUUUUUUCUCUACAAAAGAAACCAGAUUUUAGGCUGUGAAGCAAAACUAAAGGGAUGUGGAUAAAAGGAGGGAUGAUAGAUAGAAGGAAGAAGAAUAAGAAAGAUAUAGGAUUCCAAUGUGUAUGGUCUAUGAAUUACAUCAUAAAAAAAAAGCAAUGUGAUAAAGCAUCAAUAUAAUAAAAUAAUAAAAAAAAGAGAGAAUUCGAAAUCGUAACUUUCGAAACAACAAAUAAAAAUUUAAAGAAAUAAAAAAGAGCAGCCCGCGUUAAUAAAACUGAGAAAAUUGACUCGGAAAGAAAUUUUUUGUUUUUGGAAGCUCCAUUGCAGGAUUCAAACCUAACCAUUAAAGGAGAAGCUGUGGGAACGACAAAACCUAUGACGGCAUCGGAUUUUAUUGAAAAGAAUCCUAACACUUCAUUGGGUGGGAUGGCGGAACAAACCAAAAAAAUUGCUUUAUUUGAUAAAGUUCUAAAUUAACAAAUAAGACAGGAAAGAGUAAAUAUUCGCCCGCGAAAUCCUUAUUGGAUUAGAAUACUUUACCACGAUUCAAUAAGAAUAAAAAUAAGGAGAUUCAAAAAAAAAA